UCUAUGUAUUUUUACUAGAGAUGAUGAUGAUAUGUUGUUCGUUGUCAUGUCCUUAGUUAAUUUCCUGUGUAUGAUUUCUCUAUCUGGGUUUAAUUAAUUCAUGUCUGUUUGAUUAUUUUGGUUCUCGUAAAACAUUUUCAAUUGCAGCAGCAUGCAUUUAAUUGUUUUGUAGAAUUGAAUUGGUUCGGCUUUGGGAAGCUGCGUGCAUUUUCUUGAUCGCUAAUGCAAGCUGCUGCUCUUGCUUGCAUCUUAAUAUAUAAAGAAAUUCCGAGGAUUUGUCAAACAAAGAAUUAUUUUUGAUAACAUGUCAAGCCGUCAAGGUACGCAUAUAUUAAAUUUAAUUUUCCUUUGAAGAAUCUAAUUUCAAUCCGCAGUUUGUUUCAGCUGCCUGCCAUUUCAAAAAAAAGUUAACAGGAAACCACACAUAAGUGGCAAUGUUAAAUGGGAAUGCCCUUUCUUUAAAUUUUGCAUGCUUUCUCUUAAAGCAAAAGGGUCUGAUCAUCUCAUCAAAAGUUUCUCCCUUUGCAAAUCGAAAGUUUUGUGGAUUCUUGAAUCAUUCAAGCUCCGUAAAGUUCGAUGAACAUACAGAGAAAAUGGGGACACCGAUACUUCAAAUAUUGGCACACAUUACAUACACAUGACCCACCAAAAAGAUUUUUGUAGGAGCCAUGAAUUCAAAGUAGGCAAAAGCAUGUUGCUUAUGAGUUCUUUAAUACGCUAUCGAACUCUAGAUUUUUUUUCUUCUUUUUUUAGCAUUUUUCUGGCCUCAGAUUGAACUUGUCCUAGUCGCCGAAUUUAAGGUUCAUAUCAUCAACUUUAUUGCCUUCAUAUACUAAUUUUUUUUUUUUUUAAAUGUUAUGGCUAUUCUACACAAGCGGGGCAAUUGGUAUGGUUACCAGUCGCAUGUUUGUAUUGAUUAGAUAUGUAAUGUUGCAAAGAAAGUCGACAUGUUAGAUCGUAAAUUAGAGAAUCCGAUCAACUAACAUUUUUGAAUUGGAUGUCGACAAGGCAACAAAAUUUUCGGUAGAAAAUUUUAUUAUAGCCGAUUUUUGUUUUUCUAGCCAUCCAUUUGUCUGGCUUAGCAAGCACACAUCAUCAACAGUUGCCACAAUUUCUCUUUCAUUUGGAUUUUAAGCAAAGAAAAAAAAAACAACUGGGAUUUCUUGGAUUUCAUAUUUGAUGUCGUCAAUUCCAUCAAUUUAUUCCUUAAGGAAUUUGACAUGAAAUAACAUUAGGCAAAACGUUGUUAUAUAUACUAUUGCCCAAUAAUAUUUAAAGAUCUUUUGCAUUCGUUGUAUACUAUAUGCAAAAUACAUGCGAUAUGGUUUAUUUAAUUUGUAUAUCUAUUUUUGGUCCUAAAUUCGUUUCUUUGGGCCACUAAAAACGUGUUUUGAUUAAUUUUAGGUUAUGGUAGUUUGUGUCAUUUUCAUGGCAUAGGCAGUGAUUGAAUAGUUAACAAUCUUAACUAAACGUAAACGGCUAAUUGACCUCUUAAUUGCUUUUGAGUAGGGAUGGCAAUGGGCACCGCCCGCAGCGGGUUUGCCAUUACCAAACCCAAACCCGCACAAAAUUUAAAUUACCAAAUCCACCCGCAACCCGCAGCGGGUUUUAAUUUUUUUUAAAAAACCCACCCGCAGCGGGUUUUAACAAUUACCAAACCCGCAAUGGUAUCCGGCGGAUUUUUUGCGGGUUUCCGUAUUUAAAAUCACAAAUGUUUAAUAUAUAAAUUUAUAAUAAUAACCUCAAAUUUCAUAUAACAUAUUCAAUUUUAUAUUUAAACAAUGUAAAUGAAAAAUUAAAAUUUCCACAUCAAUUCAACACAAAUUCUCAAAUUUAAGUAUAAAUUACACAAAUUUAUUUAAAAAACACAAACUAAUAUCUAAAAAUAAUAAUUAUAUUUCAUAUUAUCAUUUAAAACAAAAUUCAAGAGAAGAUAUUCAUUUCAUUCACCGCCAUAAGCACCCAUCCAACACAAUGCCUAUAAUAAUAAUUAAGAUUAAUAUUUUCAAAUACUAAUUUGAAGGGAAAUGCCUUUAGUUUCCUUUAGGUUAUGACUUUAGAAUAGGAAAUGAGUCAUAUACACACAUACACAACUUUGAACCUUUGGCUAUUUGGUAAUUUGAUUAAUUACAUUAUUUUCUUUAUAUAUUUUUAUAUUUAAAUUAAAUUAAAAAUAUUUGAAAAAAAUUAUUGCGGGUUUGGUGGAUAUCCAUGCGGGUAUCCACCGGGUAUAAGGCUAAUACCAAACCCACCCGCAUCCAUGUGCGGGUUUUAAUCUAUAAUACUAAACCCGCCCGCAACGGAUAAAAUUACCCGCAACGGGCGGGUUUUGGCGGGUGGGUUUGGGCGGGUUUGCGGGUUUGCGGGUACAAUUGCCAUCCCUACUUUUGAGGCUUCUUUAAUUAAACCCCACUUAAUUGAUUGCAAGAAAUCAGGUCGUGAAAAUUCCUUUUUCUUUUCCUCCACCCAAAAAGUUGACAUGGAGAAGCAGUACUUAGCUUUAAAAAGCUAUAAGGUUUCACAUUUCAUGUAUGCUAAAACUCAAAAGCAUGAAUCGGACGGACAUAUAAGAACAUCAAGGAAUUUUCAUACAAUUACAACUAGUAGUUAACUUUGAAAUUAAGAAAGCUAUAGCUAGAGCCCAUAUUCAACUUUUUUUUUUAUAAAAAAAAAAAAUCCUCUUAGUAAAUCAUUUGCCCAAAUAAAGACAUCCUUAACCCAACUUUGUUUAAGUUAUUAACAACUGUGUUUCUUUAUUUAUUCCUUUGAUCAACUAUCAAUCAAAUAACUACAUGACUAGCUCUUUCAAUUUAAAAUUAAAAAGAACCCUAUGGGGCUAUGCAAAUAAUUCAAUAUCAGUUGAGCCCAUGUGAGCGUGUGAUCAAAAAGCACAUGGAAACACAAGAAUAUUAAAAAAAAAAAAACUUGUAAAGCCAUCAUAGCACACCAAUCAAUCCCUCCAACCUAAAAGUGAAUCCACCCAAAACCAACUCAUAAUUUCUCAUUCUUUCCCUUCAAACCAACCAUGGAAAAAGUAUUGAGAACAAUUUCCAUCUGAAUUGAUUUCAUACAAAAGUCUUGGUGUUUGCUAGAAAAAAAAAAAAAAAAAAAUUGUAGAAGUUAAGACGUGUUCGUGAAGCAUCAUUAAUGACUCCAAAUUUUCAUAAAGUAUCAUCAAUUACUCUAUUACAUAAGCCCUUCCGAUUUUGUUUUUUUGUUUUUAAAGAAAAAUAGAUUGUAGAUUGUCAAUUGAUCAUUUGAAGAUUUCUUAGUAAUAUUUCAUGAAAUUAAAGAUGGUUAAAUGAAGUUUAUUAAAAAAAUAUUAAGUUUUAUAAUUUAAAUCAAUGUCACCAUUGAAAGGCAUCUCAAAAUUAAGAGUAAAUAUCAUCACUUUAGGUGUAGAACUUUGGAUCGCACGAUAAUUAAAGUUCUUUUUAUUUAACUUUUAGGUAAUUGUGCCACAUGUUUAAAAAAAUACUUACAACUGAGUUUUGAGUAUACAUCUUAUUAUUUUGUACAACUGUUUGAUAAAAAUAUAAACUCUAGAAAUGACUAACUAGUGUUGUUUAAUAAACAUCCAUAAAAAAAUGGAGUCUAAAAUCUACACUCUAGCAAGGCAGCAACUUAAAUUAAUUACAGGGUCGGUGUUAAAGAAAAGAGAAAGUAAAACGUUAGGGCAAUAAUGAAAUUAAUCAAAUAAAUAUCUCACCAAAAAAGAAAAGAAAAAAAAAAACAGUAGUAGUUAAAGAAGAAGACAGCACGAGCAAUGACCCUACACUACACACAAAGCCAGCUGUGAGCCAACCAAGACUCAAAAGCAACGUCCCAACGUUCACAAAACCUGUUUAUAUAAACCACCACUCCACUCUCUUUAUUCUUGCAAUUUCCAAAGAGCUGUAUCACUACUACACACACGCAUCAAAGCUUCAUUCAUUUUCUCUUCACUUUUUACAGUCUUUAUUUGAAGCUAGCUAGCUAGCCGAUUAGUAAUUAGCAAUGGAGGCAAUGAAAGUGAAGUUCUUUAUUGUUGCUUUGAUGAUGAUGGCUCUGAUGGCCAUUGAGAAGGUGGCAGCUGCUGAUGCUGAGGCUCCUGCUCCUGGCCCUUCUUCUGAUGCUGCUCUCUUUGUGCCAACUUUCUUUGCUUCAUUCAUUGCUUUGGCUUUUGGGUUCCUCUUUUGAGCUCUCAUUUCUAACUCAGUCCACCCAUUUUGGUGGGCUGAGCUUGAGGUUUUCUUUUCUUUAUUGAUAUUAUUUAUUGAAUUUUAGGGCAUUUUUAGUUUCAAUUUUAAUGUUUUAACGUGGGGUUUGUUCUGGGGUGUGACUGGUGGUUGUAUUAUAUCUUGAGUAUGACUUGAUGUAUCUAUCCAUUCUAUUAUGUAUGUAUCAUUUAUAAUUUUUUUUGUUAUUAUUAUUAUGGUUUAGAUUUGAUCCAUUUAUUGUAAUUCUACUUCUCUCAUUUGUAUGAAAUGAAUUUCAUUUUUUUCAUAUAUGGUUUUAUAUAUUUUUACAUUCUCCUUCAAUAAUGAAAUUGGCUUGUUGAAUUUCAGUUGUAAAAUUGUAAUUAAUCUUCAAGGGUCGCCAAAUAAUUUAACCAUAAACACAAAUGAAAGAAGGGAAAAUUGGCAACUUUUAUUCGUGGGCAUUUGUGGUUGUAAAACGAUGUGUAUGACAACUUUUGGCAGAUUUUGAUGAAGUUGUCUGAUGAUCACGAUCAUGAUGUACAGCUUUUAAUAUUGUGGGGUCUUAAAAUUUGAUGAUAAUAUUAAGAAAGAGCAGCGAAUUUGAGAAGCUUAUUAAUGGUUUGGAGGUCACGUGAUGGGGUGAAUUUGUGAGUUGCAUAAGCUACACAUUUAUGGCCAACAAUUUUCUCAAGCACAAAGAGUUGUGGUCCACAUUUUCCUUUGAAUGUGAGGCAAUCACAAACAUUAGCCAAGCGCAUUAAAUGGCCCAAAUAAUGUAUGUUUGGUUAUUUCUAGGAUGAACAAUGCAGCGUAAUCACAAAACAAUCUUCUUCUGCGAAAGUUCCGAGAAUUAAGUAGUUGGUGAUUUUCAUACUGUUUCUUUGCUCUUAUGAGUCAUUAGUAAUCUGUGAAAUCCUUCAUUUUCAAAUAAGCAAUAAUAACAAAAGUAGGUGAAAUUUAAGGUAGCUUCUAGGCACCUCCAUUUAUGUGGUCAAGGCUUGAAUCGAGCAAAAGAUUAAUUAAACCAGUUAAUUAUGACGUGAACUUGUUAACAAACAUACAUGUGAAUGGGCUCUCAUUGAACAACCCUUGUCAUUGGGACAGUUACAAUCCCAGUCAAUUGCUUUAAUUUCUUUAAUUUAAGCAAUUGCAUACCUCACUGAUUAUCUCAAUCAGCGAACUUCAGAAACUUUAAAUGCUAAUUUUCCUAUAGAUUCCAACUACUUCAUGUACCAAAUCAAAUAAGAUAUGCACUCCUCUUUAAUACUUUUCUUUUGUUUCUUUCUACAUGAAUAAUGAGCUAAAGGGAAAUAGACACUUGGCAUACAACCUACAACCAUGUCAUGUGCUUUGCACAUGGAGUCCAGCAAAGAAAUAGCACAAGUACAAAGACAAAAGAAGAGUUGAGUUGGUUAGAAUGAGGUUUGUUUGUGCUUCAAGCUGCAGCACAAAAAUAAGAAAGUUUGAUCUAUUCUACCAACUUAAUUGGAAUAAAUCAUAUGGUAAGAGUAGCUGCCAAUUCAACCAAAGAAAAAAGUUACUCUAGCUACACGCAUAAUAGGAAUCGCAUUGCAGGAAAAUCUCAUCUGCCAGCAAGUAAUUUACUGGAUUAUAAUUCUACAAAUUAAAAUAAGAAGAGAAAAUUUUUAAUAUGGGUACAGGAGUUUGUGUUACAACUUUUAUGGUAUUACUUCAUCCAACAACACGAACAGAAGCCAUUUUAAGACUUGCUUCGGCUUAAUAUUACAGCAUAAGCAGUAAUCCACUCAAGCACGCUAUGAAAGUUGAAACAUCCUCAGCAAAAUUUCUGAAAGGAAAAUUUUGAAACAUUCUUGCAAACCAUAGAAGCUACAAUGAGAAACGAAACAGAUGAUAUAAGGACCUCGAAUCUAUUAAAAUUAGAGCUCUCCUAUAAGUUCAUUUACAUUUUUGUAACCAGCAACAGUUAGCUCUAACUAUUUCUUCCUAGACUGCUUUCUUUCAGGAAAAUUCUAAAAGAUGGUUACCGAUCAAUAAGCCACUAUUACAUACAAAAUUACAUGUUACAUCUAAUUGUACAUUGACCCAUAAAAAUGGAUCGCAUGCAGCACGAGCUAGACUAGGCAUAUCUUCCAUCGAGUAAAGCAGUGAGGAAACAACCAAGUGAAGAGCUUAUUUCUCAUGAUCUUAGGAUUGUGGCUUAUCUGCCAGCUGAGAGAGCUCUCUGUCAGCAAAAUGAAGCAACCUUCUCAGUCUUAAUACCAUAUCACAGUGAAAAGGAAGCGCAGUCCGACGAUUCAAGUACGCAGGGCUUGCUGUCAUCCAUGACAGGGCAUGAAGUUCUGCUGCAAUAGACUCGAGAAUCAAAUGGGUUUCAACUUCAAAGUCUUUAGGUUCUGAGCUUGAGGUCCUUCCUCCCUGCUUGAUAAUUACUCUAUUGACUUUAUCUUGGCUAAUAUUAUUACCUCCAUAAUAAUCAAUUAAAUUUACAGAAAGUACAGAAGGCCAUUCAUCUUUCAACUUGUUUUUGUGGUCUUUUCUCAUAGAUGGAACAGAUUUUGAAACCACAAAUCCAGUGGAGAGGGGGAUUGCAGAGCCCUUGCUAUGAAGGAGAUGAGCAAGGGGCGGAGAUUCAGCAGUAAGGCAAGUAGGGAGCUGAAGAGGUGCUGGAGGAAGGAAGCGCAUGCUUGGUGACGGGAUCAAAAUAUAAGAUGCAGGUGUAGCACCAAGAGACUUUACAGGGGUGAAUCCUUCCAAAUAGCCUGACGGACCAACACCAUUGCCACCCUGGGUUCCUCCUGCACAGUGAUACAAGGUAUUUUGAAAUAGAAAUGAGAUGGUUUAUCAUGCACAAAACAUUAUGAGCUACCAUUGUACAUGAAGUCCAUAAAAUUUUGAGGGUCACCAUAAUAUAGUAGGUAAUUUUAUUAUUCAACAUACAUUAGAACCCGUCAUUUCUUAUUUAUGCAAAGACCAUCACAAUUUAAAGCCCGUUCAAGAGGGUAAAACCAUCAAAAGAGCAUAAAAUAUUUUUGAUCAACCCCACUUUAGCCAACGGGGAUUACCUCAUAUUUACGGCUCAUCGAAGGGCUGACAGUAGGACCAAGGUCAGUAAUGUACCGAACAUAUGGUAACCGUAAAUAAAUUUAACAACGAUUCAAGAUGCAACUAUAAGUCAAUAGAAAUAAAAACUUGAUGUGGUGACGGAUAAAUACAAUGGCCAACAACCACUGCAAGUGUAUGAGCUUAAAUUUAAAUUUCUAUAGCCCUUUAAUACAUAGCUACUUCGUGAGUCAGUAGGACACUGAAUACAGUACACUGCAUACAUCAUGGACAAGGCAAAACCAAUUUAUUUAUUUCUCAGUCAAGCGUUCUGACUUCUGAGGUACCUCGUCAACAAGAGUACCCACACAAUUAACAGAUAAUGGAGUUCAACCGGCAGGAAAAUGCAAAUGAUUAAAAUGAAGAAUUAGAGGAAAGGGAAGACUGAAAACUCACCAGAAGAUGGUGAAUCUGCUUGAUGGACUAGAUGCAGAGAAUGAUCAAUUGAAAUUGCUACAAAGCUGAUGCUCUGUACCCACUGAAGCAAUCCCCUAGAAUUGUCAACCAUCGUAUGUCCACCAAUAAGCUGCUUUCUUCCAACAGGCUGUCCUAGACCACCUUUCAUAAAACCAGAAGCUUUUGAGUGAGGGCUGUACAACGGACUAGGUGAGGACGGUAGUGCUCUCUCUUGAAUCAAACUUAUCUCCUGCUGCUGCUGCAAGGAUGCACCAUUAGUACUUGAUGGCAUCCCAUCAGGUACAGAUCGACGCAGUUGUAGCGGCCACUGCUUCAUCUCGGACCCGCCAACUGAAUAAAUGGCUUUCUGCCACUCUGUUGAAUCAUAAGAUAGAAACAAAACGAUUACAAUGUUUAUGCUAAAAAUGCAGACCAAACAAAAUCUUGGGUGCACUAUAGCACAAGGUUCUACAUGAAAAAAGGAAAAAGAAUAGACAAACAAAUAAACUGGCCACAGAUAUUUCAUUACAUUACAAAUUUUUAACUAGGACAGGUAACCAUUUUUCUCCACACAAUACAUGCCAACGGGUUAAAAAAUGCUUGAGCAGAGUAUAUACUUAUAGAAAGAACGACAUUGUAGCUUAGAACAAUAGUAUAACAAGUGAUUUUCCCCAGCACUAAAAGUAAAAUGAAGACAGAUCAUAAGAUUUUAUCAAAGUAGAAAAAGGCAAAUACCCAAGUAUUCAAGCUCAUAGAAACUUCCAAUGCGUGUAAUCACGAAAUCCCUAGGCUUGGCAGCACCAGAAUCAGGAGAACAACAUGUCUGAAGUAUCUGGCAGCCCUGCUGCAAAAUUUGCACGAAAAGGCAUUGCAAACCCUUUGUGUCCUGUCGACUACUGAUUCCACCGAAAGGAAAUAUAUGGCUGUCGAGCAAUUCUCCCCUUGCAUCAGUCCAGAUGCACACCAGCCAACGCCAAUCCUCUGUCCAUCCAUAGCAGCAAUGCAGACUUGGAACACUCUUGUGAUGACCAGAUCCAAAGCCAUCCUGCUCAGAUCUAUCUAGUUGAGAGCUUGAUCCAGUAUCUGCACUUCCUGCUGUACUUCCACUCAUCAUGAAGCCUCCAGUACUAUCAUCAGAAGUCGAGUUGCCAUUAAAUGUAGAUGAAACACCAUGAUCUAAAGAGCCAGGUUCAGCAAGGACAAAGAGUGGUUCAAACAUGAAACGAAUUUCGUCUUGAAUAAGAAAAUCUCCAUUUCUGUUUGGAUCACAAUUUAAUCCUCCAGAUCUUGUUGCUUGCCAGGAAUUAUCCCAAGUGCCAGGCCUCAAGCUAGCAUCAAUUUCACCCUCUCUACUAAGGGAAGGUCCGGUCAUUCGAGAACCAACACAGUCCUUCCACAUCCCAGGAAUAGAUGCCAUUUGAUUCAUGACUGAAUGAGAUCUGCUAGACAGUGAAGAUGAGUGCACUACAUCACCAGAAGACCCUCGCGAAAUCCGUCGAGCCUUGUUGUAUACAGUAAAUGCAGUCUCCUUGAGAAGGACAAGUUCAUUAAUGGCCGGACUUGUAACCCUAAAAAUUUCAUCAACAGUCAAAAUUUGCAAUACCAACUUGGGAAUACUAAACCCAGAAAUGGCUAGAACAUUUGAUAUUGAGGUUUCAUCCACUGCUGCUGGGCAGCUUAAUGCCUUGCCAACCUGACUAUGCAAUAGAGCUCUCUCUCUAUCUGAUGAAAUAGCAACAGAUCCAAGAGAAGCAGAGGAUUCAAUAACAGUUUGUAGAAUUGCAAGAGGCUCUGGGAAGGGGCACACCACAUAGAUCACCUAAGCAUUUUUAUAGGAAAAAGAAAAUGAUAAAACUGAUAAUGCCAAAGCAUAAAUGAUGCGAAAGCUGUGGAAUAAAUAUGUAAAAAAUGGUGGUGUGCAAUAGAGGCACAAGGAAACUGUUCACUUAGAAAGAAUCACACAGUCUUCAACUUUAAGAUAAGCAUGUGACUGGAUAUGAAUCAAGUGACUAUUGAGUAGGAUUACAAAUUGUUGAUCUUUAACAUCCAAAACCAGUAUCUUAAGAGCUUUCUACAGAGCAUAUCAAUGCUCCAGCUCUCUAUGAAUGCGCACCAAAAGCUAAUCCAGCUCUCUAUGAAUGCGCACCAAAAGCUAAUCCAGCUCUCUAUGAAUGCGCACCAAAAGCUAACCUUCAGGAAAGAGUUUCCACCAUAAAAUGAUAACCAAAGUUAAGAAUAAUAAACGUACUCCAUGUAAACAAAAAAGUUUCAGUUCCAUCAAGCACACAGUACAAUCAACAGAAAUUUUUCACACAUCCAAGACUUUGUGAAAUACACCAUUGAAACCUGUAAAAUACACUCACAUACAGUUCAAGAUAUAACAGAAAAUAUGGUUAUAAAACUUCUACUUACUGUACAAGGACCACUGUUUCCUUCUUUUUGCUGUGUAGAUGAGCAUGGACCAAGUUUCAUGGUUUUGAGAGCCUUAGAGAGAGACUUUAGAUAGCUUGUCAAGUCCCAGCCAUUGGACAGAGAGAGAAAAUAAUCGCUUAUGGAUCCCACAAGAGAUGCGUUAUUGCUUUCAAUUUUCAUUGAUUGAGGGCAAUCCAGUAGAACAAAACCAGAAGAUGGCGAUUUCCCAGAAUCUAUCUCCAUUUGGUUUCCCAAAUUCUGAGGUGAAUGAGUUCCCAGUUUGCAUGUCUCAUAAACUAAAUGAAGAAAAACACAUGGUAGCAGUAUUAGCACUUGAGAAGAGUGAAAAGUUUGGGAGCACAGAAUUGAUGUGUGUUACUACUCUUGAAAGUGGCACAGUAGCCAUAGGAAACUGCAAGUCAUCAUGUUUUACACCGCUAACAUAGAAUUCAGAAUUGUAAAAGAAAGUGCCAAUAAAAGAGUAUGUUUUCCCUUAAAGCUAAUUACUUUUCAAUCAAGAGCUAAGCAAAUGCACUUUUGUCGGGAAGAGGAUUGAAAUAUUUGUGUUCACAAAUUAAACAAUUAUGAAAAGAUACAAAAAUUAGUCAAAAUUUCAACACUUGAAACCCUCCAACUCCAAUUACAAACUAAGUUGCUACCCUUCCCUCAAAUAACAAGGGUUUAAGGAAUGUUUUACAACAAGAAUACACUUGUAGUUGAUGCGUCCAAAGUAGGGAAAAUAAACCAAAACCUUCUUUCUAUUAUAGAAAUAGAAGACCAGAAACAAAUAUUAUAGUAAUAGAAGAGCACAAACAAAGAACUCCAAUCACAGGUGCAAUUCAAACAACGGCAACUAAAAUUUUAAGUACAGAAAAAUUUUCACCAACUGACCAGCUCCUAGUUGUUGAACAAAAUCAGCCGCAGCAGAAGUAAGAGGAUCAAUGUCUGGACAUAUAACAUUAUAAGUGAUCUGCAAACAAUUUAAAGAUAUUACAACAAGGAGAUAAUUUUUAAAAAAUUUGCUCAAAUAACAGAUAUUAGAACUGGAUAUCACUGUUGUUGCCGCAACUGCUUUUAAGAACUUACAGGUUUUGGUAAAGCAUAUGGUUCAAGAGGGGCCUUUUCCCAAAACUGUAAAGAGGUUGCUGAUGUCUUAAGCCAAUCAUCCUGGUACCUAUUACAAAAACCAUUAAAUUACGCUUAUCUCUGAGAAUGAUACUCAAAGGUUGAGGCAUGUAGCCGUCUGUCAUGAGUUAUCUAGACACCAUUGUAGUUAACCUGUAAGCUACCAGAGGAAGUUAAAGAACACAUAGAAAUCCUACAUCAAUCCAAUAAAUAAGAUAAUUUAUUCACUCAACACUAAUUAUGAAGAAUUAAAAGUAGUUGUACAAAUUAUCGGUUGCAGAUGAAUUAUUCUACACUGCAUCGAGAGCAACUUUAGUGGCGCAAAAUUAUUCCAUCUGUAACUAGGUGAGCCAUUGUCAUGCCCAGGCUCAACAUCAUUAGUUUGUCUUUUAUUACCAUAGUUGCAAUUAGCGUACCAAGGUGAAAUAAUGCGCCACAAAGUGCCAUUUUCAUACACAAAAAUAGCCAGACUGAGUUUUAGAAAAUAAUGCUGUCCUGCUAUUUGGAUAAAUAGACAAAGGAGAUCUUCAUAUGUCAAAAUAACCAUAUAAUCAACUCACCCUCCCCAUUCCAGAAAAAUAAAUAUAAACACAGCGAAGAAUGUCAUUACAUUAUCCCACUGUUAGCACCAGCAUAGAACUGUCACUUCCUAAGAACUUUGCUUUUUUAUUUUCUAUAUCAUGCUUUGUUUUCCAGUUUAGUUAAAAUUAAACAACCAAGGUACAAUUUCCCAUUUGGUAGUUCAAAUAGCUCAGAAAUGUACCAAAAAUAUCCAAUAUUGAUUAAUUAUCUGGGAAGGCGGGAAACAAUGAGAAUUACUGUACUUCUAAGAAUUUUUCCUUGGAGCGGAUGCAUUGCCACUCCCUAAUAUAUAGAAAUUAGUAUUAUUUGCUCAAAAAUUCAAUAUUCAGACUAAAUUGUCUGUAUAGCCUUUAUGCAUUCUCAUGAACAAGCAGCUCCGCAUAAAACAACAUACAUUAAAACAUUAAGAGAGUUUUUCAGAUGUUGACGAAAUAUUAAUUUAAUCAGAACUCCAAGACAUACCCAACAAGUAUAGCAGGUGAAGGAAGAACAAAAAGUGUUGGCUUCAAACGGGCACACAAUUGAUGAUCUGACUCUGAACUGCCAAUAUCUUGGUUCAAUCUCCUUUGGCCUGUCUCAUCGAGUUUAGUUCCAUCCAUAGCAACUGGCAUUGUGUCAUGGCCAAACUGUUUAUUACUCUAAAUAUUCAAGAAUCUAAAUGCCCAUAUUCAAGCAAAGAGAUACCUUUAAGGGAAGAUGAUCCACCGCCAGAAGAUUGGGAUGGGCUCAGUGCUUCUCCAACAGUAAUGGUACUUGAAGAAUCUCUGCAUUCACUAAUAGACUCAGCAGAUCCAUCCCCUAUGGCCGCUGCAUCAACUGAUUGACCACGGCCUUUGCACCAAUCUGUGACAGACAAUGGACCAUCCAGACUUCCAAAUGCAGAUUUUAGAGCUGUUCUAAUUUCAGAUUGCAGCAAACUUAUAACCGAGGAAGCAUGAAUCUGAAAAAUAAAGAAUUAUCGGCAUAAGAAACAUUAUGUGAUAAGAAGAACAAACAAACUUAAUGAAAAACACUUGUCCAUAUACAGACAAACACACACAAGCAGAUGUGAUUAUGUGAAGCCUGACUGAAUUUAACAAAAAGUAAGAGGGAAACAAUGGUGACAAAACUUAACAUAAUUCAUACAUGUGCGACCCCCCCACCCCCGGCCCAAAAAAAAAACAAACACACCAACCCCAAAAGGAAAAAAAUAAAAAAUAAAAUAGUGGCAGAAUUUAGCUUUAGCGUAAUUCGUACAUGUGCCCCUGGGACCCACCAACCAAGGAAAAAAAAAAAAAAAAGAGAAAGAAAGAACUUACAUCAGCGGAAAGUGGAUCUACUAACUCCACACCAGCAAUGUCCAGCGAAUGACAAGAAGCCAGAGUCCCUCCACAACCUGCAUGGACCAUGGAAGGCCCACAAGAAAAUUCUUGCCGCCAAUGUUCUUGUAAUGCUAGCCAACCAUAAGGACCAUCACCACAAUCCGCAUCCAAUGCCACAUCAACAAAGGAGGUAGCUUGCUGGACAAGCAAUGGCAGACCAUCAAGAAGCUCCUGAAGUGGUUGCCUUUGCCCGUAAGAAAGCAUACCUUCCUCACUAAAUGAACCAUGGGGCAUAGAUGGGCUAACUUCAAUACUUGGUGAAUUAGUAGGUUUUGAAACUUUAGCAACUCCAACUGAACGCCACACCCCAACAGGUGCAUUCAGGUGUCCGUCUAGUAGUCCUCCAUCAAAAUCACCAGCUAUCCUUACUGGAAUAGAUUCUUUCUUCUUGAGCUCAUAUCUUCCAGAUGUGCUUUCCGUCAUGGAACUCAAGUCACCAGGCAGCUGAUUCAAGACCGUGCUGCCAGUGAACCUACUCAAGCUAAUAGGUGAGGGAUUACUGGAAUAUAGGAGUACAUGACGUAUCCUGCACAUGGAAGCUUGGAACAUAAGACAUUCAACUUCAGUCGCAAGCACAGUCUUCUUAGAUAAAAAAAUAUGUUCCACUCCCAAUGUGCCCUCAGUCAUCUUCCUUGGUAAAGAUUUGAUAGCAUUUGUAGAACUCAAAUUAGAGAACGGGGAUAGCACUAGCCCAUCACUUUUAGCAUUGCUAUCUUUAUGUGUUACUGAUUUCCUAUCAUUUUGCUCUUUAGAGCUCUCCACGUGAGAAUAAUAUUUCUUUGAGUGGAGCAAAGCACUUGAUUCAUGCUUUCCAGAACAAGCUUUUGAGACAGGCGUGCCAUUCUUCUCAUCCGAUCCAUCAAAGCAUGGAGAACCAGGAGGGGUUGCACCAUAUACAUAAUUAUUUGAGCUUGAAUUUGAACUCUCCACUCUGUAAGACUUUGGCAGAUAUGGACUUCUGAAAAUCGACGAGGAUAACUCACUUGUAGGAGUUUCAACUGCUCCAUAUUCUGGAGCAAAUGUCAUCAGGGCUUCAGCUUUCAUUAAAUGAUCAAACUCACCAGUUGACGAUGCUCGACUUUGGUUCGCUUGACCUGAUGUCAGAGUACUGUUUGUGACUUCUUGACUUUUGCCCAUGCACUCCUCUACGGCCAUGGUUGGCAGUGGAUUGAAGCUCUCAAAUGACGAAAAAUUAGGCAUAAGCAUUUGAUCAGAAACAUCCAUGGCUACAACGGGACUGCUACCCACAUCUCCACAAUCGGGAGCAGAAAACAUGAAGGACUGAGACUCUGCAGUUCCUGGGGGCUUCACAGAGCAAAAAGUCAUAAUGAGAUGCAGUCAAAUCUUCACCAUGUCAACAGAAAGCAGAGCAAAAUGUACUAGCUAAUGCAGAGAACCAGGCAUUAAGACCAUGAAAGGCCUACUCACAGCAACUUCUGAAACCUAAAGAUGGAAGCCAGAGGGAAAUCAAAGGGAGAAAAUAUCUAAACUUCAUUGAAAUAGAACUUUUUUUGUGCAAUACGGAUACCGCAUUCCAGAGCAUGCUGAAUAUACAUAUCCCUCUAGAAAAUAUAACAAAUAUGAACACACACUCAUAUCAUAAAAAUUAGUAUCUUCAAAACAAUUGUGCAACUUGAAAAGAAAUUUCCAAUUAGUCUUUUUUGUUCCAACAAAAGAACAGGCAAUUCAUUUCGAUCUCACAAAAACUUGUAAACAAUAGUCUAAAUGGCCAAUUAUAGGUCAAUUCACUACUUUCACUAACGCAGGUACUGCUAUGCUUCAUAUGGUGGCUUUAAGAAUUCUGAGAUCAGAUGUUCAGGCUUUUCAUCGAGAAGAAGUGCCCAAACAUUCCAUAAACAAAAUACUACCCAUUCUUCCACAGGCAGCCAGUGCCCAGGAUAGAUAAUGAUGGGUUUGUGCAACAAUGAUUAUGAAGCACCACAUCACACAGCGUCUUACACUCCCAUCCCAUAAUGUCUGUCUGUUCUAAGAAAGUCAAAGUCCAUCCACCCUUUUACUUUUCUAAACUAUUGAGUAUGAUUAGAAAAAGAGGGAGGGUGGGGGUAGGGGAGGAAUUGCCAUCAACAACAACUAAUUCUUCUUAGAAAAUGUACAGAAAAUAGAACUCUCAACAAAGAAUAGGCAGUUAACUAUUCAAAAAGCAUGCAAUAGUUUGUGAUAGUAUAUUGGAGAAAAGAGAGAAAGAGAAAAGAAUUACCUCCCCAAAAGGCAAAUUUUCAUUUUCAAAGAAGUCACCAAAAUCUCCAAACUCCGAUAGAAGAGCUUGGAUAUCCAUACCCAUGCCUCUGUCAUCAUCAUCAUCCCAGUCCCAAUGAGAUCCAAUCUGGUCAUUGGCAACUCCAGUAAUGGCUGAAGUGUUCUCCACAGAGCCAAAAUCUGUAGAAGCAUUUGUACCAGUGCCCAUUUGACCAAAUGAUUCGAUCAUCCCUGUUCGAGGACGCUUAGAACCCUGCAAAGAAGUUACAGCCAUUUACAUAACUGAAUACCUCGAAAAAAUAGCAAAGAGAGUUCCUUACCCAGAACAGUAAUCAAUUAGCAGUAAGUAAAAGCAUGAGGGAGGAACUCAGAAUAUCAUCUCAACCAGUUUACAAUAAAAAGGUCAAAUAAUACAAUGCAACAAUAAAAUUCUAUGCUCUUAUGCAACUAAGCAAGUAGCUACAAAGCUGUAAAACUAAAAGAUCAAAUAAUAAAGUGGCUUGCAUGUAUGGGUGAGAAUGCGCCUUUACUAAAUACUAACUUAAACAACAGAUAUAGAAUAAUCUAUUGGAGUAAGUUAUCAUGAGGUCAUUAAAUUCUGCAUUAUGCCUACAAUGCAGGUAGACUAAAGCAGAGAUGCACAACAUAAUAUAGCAAAACAUGCUAAAUGCAUGCAAACAUAUGUUUGGAUACAUAGAUCUGAAGUUCUGCUGCUAAGACUCACAAUCCCAUCUCAACUAAUGGUACUAGUGUCUUCAUCCAUAAGCAAUACAUGAAAACCUAGAUGACUAAUGUUCUUGAUUAAUGAAGAUAGAAUUAGUACCAAUUUGGGGCCUUCAUUUUCCAGCUGAUCAUUGGAAGAUAAACCAGACUGUCUACAUGUUAAAGAAUCUGCAUCUGCUUCAAGGUCACCAGUUCUUGCGUUCAUCUGGUAGUCACUAUCGCUGGAGCUGCCACUUAUGGAGCUGAUGCUGCUAUUAUUACUAUUGCUACUACUGUUAUAACCACGUUGAGCAUGUAUGCCAUUGGUUUCAAUCCAAGAUCCUUCCAGAGAGUCCAUAUUACCAAAACUGCAGAAAAGAAAAACAGGAGGUCAAAAAUAAAAUAAAAAAUGCAGGGGCUACCAACAACAUCAGUGAAAGAGAGAGAUUGUGACAAGCAAAAGAUUUAGACUCUGUUAUAAGGACAGGGAAUCCAUUUAUGUUGACUGUCUUUGUGUUGUCUGUGUGGGCAACUGUUUCCUUAAGAAAGGUAAAUUGUAUAAAAUAAACGAAUGAAGAAAAAGCGAUACAUCUAUGCUGUGAGGCCCACUUGCUACCCAAGGGGAACACCAAAAACUUUACAAAAUCUUCCUAUUAUAUUUACAACGAAUGCACGGCUACCCCUAUAAAAGCUAAAAAGCCUAACACAAAAACCCCUUCCAAUUUAGAUGAAAAAGUAAGUAUCUUGGAACUCUUUAGAGGCUGAAGCCCAAAGAGAAGAAAAAAUCAAACUCUUUUCCCAUAAUCCAUCAAAUAUUGUUAGCUCUUUUUUCUCCCUGAAAUUUCAAAUAUUUCUUUGCAAAUCAACCAAAGUAGAACUGCAACACUGCAUUAUCAAAGGUUUUUUACCUUGGUUCCCACAGGCUUGAAUUACAGUUAUUUCAAUUGGGAUGCAUAUUUUUCUGAUAAACAAACACUAUAUGAACAGUGAUAACAAAAAUCAAGACACUAACCAAUGCAUGAGGAAAGAUGAACCAGCCAUUGAUGGCCCUAUCCAAUUUUGAAGCCAAAAUCUGCAAAUGCACAAAUCUUUGUCAAUUAGGCAAUAAAGAGCAACAUUAGGGGGAAAACAAGGAAAGAAAAGAAAAGAGUUGACAUAAAAUGCAAAUUAAUUAGCACAGAAUACAUCUGUACCUUCUCAAAGAAGAUCUGGAGAAUGAUGUUUGCAAGACCGGGACAAGCACUGCCUCAGCUGGAUAAAUAAACGUCUUUUCAUAUGCCGACAUGUUAUCUGGCGAUCCCUUUGGAUCACCUCCUCCUACUGAUGGAGACUCUGAAACGUUAUGCUUGUGUAAAUUUCUUAAGGAGUUUGAGUUUAUAUGUGAUGCCUUGUCACUUCCAGACCUAGGACAACCCAUGGUAACUUCAACAUAGCAAUUUUGCCCAUUUAGCUGGCAACCAGAACCUUGAGAAACAUGUGGUAGACCUACACAUCCAUUUGAAGUCCUAAGAAGAAUAGAAUAGUACAAGAAUAUGUUAGGGACUUUCAAAAAUAGAAAAAAAAAAUACAAGGGUGUGAAAGAUAAAAUUUAUAGAUUAAAAAGAAUAGAUAUCGUUCACCUAAAAUACACUUGCUUGACAAGGUCGGUGGGACAAUAUCCAGUGAGCCUACCACGCAUACCAUGAGGAGAAACAAUCACUGCAAAAGUCCCAAAUGAAAUCAGAGGAGAUAAGUACGCGGUAAAGAUUGCUUAAUUGGCUUCCUGGAACUAUCAUUGGGCCUUAACUUGCUCAAAGUCCACCAUUAUCGUUUGACGAAUGCUUUUUAACUAUUCUAUUUACCUCCAUGUACUAUGAAAACUGCUGCCCAAUUUAGGUAAAUGAAGACAAAAGGAAGCAUCUGGAACUGUGAGUCCCAAAAAGGCAUUAAGAACUGAGCUCUAUCCCCAGACCAAAACAAAAAAGAUCUGAACCUCUCUCUUUGGAAAACAAAAAGGGACAGAUUGGUCAACUUUUCUACAUACCUUUCCUUCUAAUUCAACUGUCUUUGUUUCCUUUUUCAAAAAAAAUAAAAAUUGCAUCCAGCGGGAACCUUUUCAUUUCAAGUACAAUAAACCCAGCAGAAAUGUACACCAACCUGGAAGUCUAAAGCUGGAACUACUACUUGAAGAAUGCUUAAAGCCUUUUUCCAUGUCACCUCCUGAAAGUGAAUGGAUAUGCCUAGAAAUAAACAAGAUAAUAUCAAUUUGGCAUGCAUUCAAGGAAAACCAAUGCCCAAACCAAAUUCACCACCGUAAGAACAUGACAACUGGGGAAAAAAAAAAAAUUAAGUAUGUGCUUUCACGAACUUUGCAGAUACUCUAGCAUGGAUAAAAAUUGCCUCUUCAGUAGCAGCAAAGAUGAACUCAAUUGUCGGAUGUCCUUUCCUACAAAAACACCAGCCAAAAAUCAGCCAAAUAAAAAACUCUGACAAGUUCAGUCAAAUUCAACAACCAAUUCAAUAAUCACCUAACUCUAGAAAAAUGAAUUGGCAAAGAAGAACAGAGAAAUAAUAUAAAAAAUAAACAUCCACGAUCAGAGACCACAUUUUUAGGUAACCGAGAAAAAGUUUAACAUUAUGACAACGAAUGAAUUCCUGUUGUUUCAAAACUUCAAAUUCAGGUCUCAUGUCUAGUUUCAUGUUUGAGUAUUUCCCUGGCUGCAGUUUCGGAAGCCCUGCUAUAACAUGCUCUCCCUCAGUGUCAGGUUUGGGCACCAUAAAUAAAAAUCCACAGACAAAGAUAGGAAUCAUGGACACCCACAUAUUGAUAUUUUGUACAAAAUCACACCGAUUGAACAAUAAUAGUUAAAAUGACAUAAAGUUCAUUUAUCUAUCGGAUAAGUGUAUCCUAUUUUUCAGAGAAGGAAAACUAGCUAUUUCCAGAAACAGAGAACAUUUAAUGCUUAAUUCCUUUAAAUUACCAUCCAAGACACUAAGCAGACGGUAGCCGACAGGUAGCAAUUAACUACUGAAAAAUGAAAAUAGAAAGAGAUCAAUACUUGCUAAAGAAUGGCAACAAAUUCAAAAUUAUUUAUUCUCAAAAUGACAUCCCAGAGCCCAUCAAAAAAAAAAAAAAAUUAACAUCCCAGAGAGAAAAUAUCACCACAUGAGGUAGAGUAAAAACAGAAAUUAUGAAAUAAAAAUUCGCAAAUCCUUCAGUGGUUUAACAAUUCAGGUGCAGCUUAGUUGUGAAUAGAUUGGGUACAUCUAGCUUCUGGAAAUUGGUUAGAAUAAAAUGAUAAUAACAGAGAAAACCUUGUCAACACAAAACCAAUGAAUUAUUGAAAUCAAGUUAUCAUUGUAACAAUAAUAACAAUGACCAUCAUUUUAGCCACUCAAUUCUACUUGAACCAUUGAUACUACUACCAAUCAACAAACAAUUUGAGGGGAAAAAAAAAAAAACCUGAAAGAUUCUUCGCUUUGGGAUGGCUGAUACUUCGAAAAUACGUCACCAAAUCUCAAGUAGGAAAGUCCAAUCAAUGCUCUGUAGAUUCCAAUAUAGCAGGUCAAGAUAUAAACAUGUUCAAAUUACUUUCAGGGUCUAGGAAAUAAUUGAAAACAAACCUUUCUAUGCAGUUCCUCAAAGCCUGAGAGAGGGCAGCCGCAACCUCUUCUGAGUCCCCAGGAGCAACCCAAAGUCCAGAAGCAACAACUGCAGAAAACAAAUGGAGGAUUAUAAAAUAAUAUCUACCAUAAUCAUACACCAUCAAUAAAGAUUCUAUAAAGCUAUAUUAAAGCAAUAUAAUAAUUUAAAUAAACCGACGACUACUCAUUACCCACCAAAUAAAAGAACAAAUAAAAUUAUUGAAAAAGACAUAAGGACACCACUAAAUACCCAAAAGCACUUGAUACCUCUUAAUCUAGAGACAGCAGCUUGAGUGGUCUCAGCAACAGAUGAAUGACGCCCCGGAAGAAAAAGCCAGAGCUUUAUUUUCUCAUCUGUGAUGCAGUUACAAAAUAAAAAUGGUCAUAUAUAACGUAAACAAGCGCACGGCAGCCCUUUUUCUUCCAAAGGUACAUAACCGAAGAUGGUGAGUCUCAAUUGUGCCAAGACUUUCUUGUUUUCCGCCCAAGCAACAUUAAAGAAAAAGCACAUAUUUGACAAUUUGCAUUUCUUACCAGGAUUGUGCAAACCUUGCGAUGGAUCCCAAGGUCCGACAAAGGAAUUUGUCCAUGUGCUAAGAAAUCCCUCCUUUUGCAAUUGCAGAUGAGAAGAAAGUACCAGAAAUGUAGCGGCGUCUUUCUGGUCCACUUUUACACUAUUGCACCUCGAAAGAUAUUAUAUUUUAGGAGUGCUUUAAACAAAUAUUGAAGCUACAUUCUUAUCAUUCACAUUCACUUGUAUUUGAUAUAAAUCUACGAUAUAAAUCACUCCAGGUACCAACCUUUUAUCAGGCAAAGCCUUCAGAUCGGAUUCGUUGGGGAGAAACUGGAACCACGACACAUGAUGAAGACCUCCCUGUGGAAUGGCCAAUGUAACAACAUCUUAGAGCAAAGUACAUAUCAAAGCUGAAAGGACUAGAUGAUAAUGAAUUAUGGCUCUAACUACAAUAAUGGCAGAAAUAAGGUCAAAAAAGGGAAAAAAAAAAAAAAAAACCUAUGUGAUAAAUAAAGGCUAACCCCAAUAUUACAUCGCACUUUCAAGAUUUCCUUAUUAAUCACAGAGAAGGUCUAGUUCUCCAACUCGUCAAACAGCUUAUAGAGCAUCUGAUUACCAAAAAAUUGUUCUCUGAUUUUAAUAAUAAAAUGCCUAUAUAAGGACAAUGCUUACACGUGUGGUACUGGGAGAAAUUUUCUCAUUUGACUUUUAUUUUAAAUCCAAUAGUUUUGAUUGGCUACAAAGUAAAUCUAUAGGCCAGAGAAGGAUUCUGGGAAUGGAGCAAGCUCAGUUUCAGGUAAAACCAAUGAAGUUCACCAGAAAACAGUAAAUAUCUAGUUAGAAACAUUAUGCUUUAACCAAUGAACAUGCAAUAUCCUAAAAUCUGUCUUUUCCAAGCAAAGAUCACAUCCCACAUAGGAAAAGAAACGUAAAAGAUAUAUGAUAACAAGCAUAGUUUUUUUCCUACACGUGUUAAUGUAUGUGUAUGUAUGGAUGCGUGAGUGUGUGCGAGUGUGCGUGUGCGUGUGCAUACUGAAUGCCUGAAUUGCAGGCACAUGCAAUCCCUCAUGUGUGCCUGGAAAUUAUGGGGUCAGGUGGCUCCAAAGAAUUGAUGAUAGCAUUUGAACCGGCUCAAUACUUCAUAAGACGCCUCGAUGGAGGUUGAAGAGUCACUCAUCCCAGGCCCUUAAAAUUAACAAUAUCUCAAGCCUUCCUAAAUAGACCUAGAUUAUGUUUUGCAAACAUUAGAAAUGACACUAAUGAGCCUUUAAUCCCAAAAUCCAACAGAGCCAAAACCAAUCACCCACUUCUUAAUAAAAUCAUUAUAUUAACAAGCGGGUCUAAAUGCAGCAGUCAAAUUUUGCAAAAUGGCUUCGUCCUGAAGUAGCAAACAGAAUCUCCCAACAACCAACUAGAAACUCCCAGCCUCCGAUUAAAUAAUACAAUUUAAAUGACAGUUAGUAUCUUCUCCUAUUUAUAGACAACCAUAAUACCCCCAAUGUAAUAAUUCAGGAAAACUUAUAACCUUAUCAAAACUCACAUUCAAAAUCCAAUUGCAUAAGUAAGAUUUCCAAAACAAUCUCAGAUUCAAACACACUAACUCUCACCCAGAGAUAGAAGGAAUAUUCUUCAAUGCAAUUAGUUUCCAAACAAACAACAGUAUCACUGUAAUAAACUACCGAGAACACGAUAUGAUAAGACUGUACUAAACAACCAUAACUCGCUUUAGUACCAGCCAGUGACACGCCAGACAAGUCUAAGUUUUACGUUCCUCAUCUCACAUUAAGUGAUAUCAUUCAAUGCUACAAGUGCCGAAUUUCACAUCAUAAAGUACAACGUAACAUGUUAAAAACGACCAUUAUCCACUUGACCUAUGCAUAAUUCAGAAUCACACCCUAGGAUUUUAACCAUUAUCAACAGUUACUAGGAUUUAACGGAAUCAUAUCCCAAGAGCUACCCAUACAUACACACUCAUAUAGACUCAUAUAGGCAAUAAAGAGCUACACAUACACACGCAUAUAGACAAUAAACAACAUGGUGAAUUAACAGAGCGGCCAAAAUUCGACAAAAAAAGUAAAGAAACAUACAAUUCUAAACACAUUGGUCCACAUCACUUAUAAUUCAGCUAAAUCUCUCCUUCUUAACAAAACCUUCUGAACCUCCAAAGCCUUUCUCAAAUCAUACCUUCGCCUGCAAACAAACAGUUCACACAUGUAACAACAACUAAACCCACAAAACUCAAAAUAGUAUUAUGCAAUUGUCCAGCAUCUGCACAUACGAUAAAACACAAUCUCAACUUCGAAAAUCUAGAAUGAUACAAAAGAUUUGAUCCGAAACCCUAAUUGACCGUUAGGUAGCUGCAGAUGGAAAAUUUUGCAAGAAAAUAGAAUUGGAUGGAUAUAUUGGUGUCCUCGCAAAUUUUAGGACGGUUUCCCGGGAAACGAACAGAAAUGAGUAAAGACAAUGAGAGAGACGAUUACCUUUAGCAAGUGGCGAAUUGGAAUCGGGAAUCGGGAAUCGGGAAUCGGGUCAAGUAGUUGCUAAGUUCACACGAGUUUCUUCAGAGUGUUCGAUAUUUUGUUCUUUUUUUUUCUGUAAUUAUUUAAUUAAAUCAUCAACAGUCAAAGCCUGGGACCGACUAGUAAUGCUAACCCGAACACAGAUCCAAACCCGAAAAUAAAAAUCGGGUUUGGAUUAUCCACUGGAUACCACAACUUUUACUCUCUUAAAUAAAAAUAAAGAUUAUUUAUAAAAAGUGGAUCGUUGACCAGUGACCAACCGCAAACUCUUUAUACAAUUAAAAUCGCCGGUUAUAUUAUCGUAGUUAAUAUGUUGAAUGCAUUUGAGAGAAAAUAAAUGUAGUAUUAAUUAUAAGGCAUACAUGCGUAUAAUCAUAAUAAUUAUUAUAAGGCUUUCAUAUUUAUUUGUAUUAUCUUGUUUUGACUGUUAACCCCCCUAUGAUUGGAUAAAUAGAUAUUUCCUAAUAUUUAAAAAAAAAAGACAUAUAACUCUCUUUCCUUGAUAAUUCAGUUUUUUUUCUUUUCUUUUUUUUACAGUAAAAAGGAUAAUAUUGUACAUUCACAAAAAAAAAACACCUUUACAAAAAAUGAUUGUAGUGUGGUGGAGGAACUCUUUUUGAGUGGAUGGGGAGAGGAUUCUGCUGACGCGCAUAAAGAGCUGCUUGCGGAUCAAUUUUUAUGCUGGCGUUUUGCUUUUUAUUAUGCCUUACUAGCCCAUUUCCCUUCUAGGCACGCUUCUCCCUGCGUCUUAGUUCCUCCAACUGCUCGCUCCUAACCCUCGCAGCUUUUUUCUCUUCAAUUUCAAUGUUCCUUUUUGCAUGUUCAUAUGCAAUAGAAGAUCAUUAGAUUCCCCAAGUUAUACCACAAACACCCUAUCUCACUCCUUCUUUCAAUUCUCUCAAUGCCUGAGGCCUGAGGAUGGUUAAAAGCCUCAAGAUCUAGAAUUGUUCAAUAGUAUCUCUUUACAAAUUCCUUGAGGGGUUCAUCCUCUCCUUGCUUAAUCCCAUAAGCUUCAUCAUAUCGUCUUUUGGUACAAUUGUUCCCCAAAAUUAUUCCAUAUAUUCUAUACACAUACUCGAAGCUCUUGAUACUCGUGUGGAGCAGCUUAGGAUACCAUUCACGUGCUGGCCCUUUCAAGGUCAAAGGAAAUGCUCUACAUAUUUGUGCCUAUGUCAGGCCCUGCACCCCUCUCAUGUUAUUGAAACGUUAUAUGUGUACCAGAUGAUCACUUUUCCCAGAGAAUUUGAGAUUAGGAAAACGAAAAUCCCUAGCUAUCGUAAUGCUAAUAAUUUAUGUGGAAAGCGGGGACCCAUUGUCUAGCAUGAUUCUCUAGCUUGGAGGUUUUUCUCGGCCUUACAUCCCAUCGAUAAUCUGUGUUAAUCUUUGCACAUCUCCUUCUAAUUCUAUCGCUCGACUAGGAUUGCAUGCAACAACUUGUUCUUGCUCUUGUUCUACAUCAUGCAAAUGCUGUCUCAACUCAUUUUCCUUGAUAUUCACUUCUCUGCCAAUAUUAUCCAAAUUUUAUCUGCCACGGAACUAAUUUCCUGCUUCAAGGUUUUACUCAUUAUGGAAUUGACUUCUAACACUAGGACUUGGCUCACCGUGAAGCUGGCUUCUCAUUCAUAGAUUCCACUCACCUCGAUUUGCUCCAUUUUUAGGUUAUGAGACAUCUUGAUUACUCCCCACACUUCCUCCACUAAUUCUUCUUUGGUAUCCCUCAACUCAGGUAAAGCAGUUGUGAGGGUCUCCAUUUGUCUCUCCAUUUGUUCCAUCCGCUCAUGCAUUGCUCUCUCCCUUGCUUCAUUCUAUUUCCUGCAAGGUGAUUGACUCAUUGAUUUUGGACUCGGCCCCUUGGGCAUUAUUUUCCUCCUAUAUCCAUGUUCUUUAUCCUUCUCUUUCAUUAAUUAGCUAUGUUGGUCGUAGCUUCCUACAGACGGCGCCAAAUAUUAACACCAAAAUCUAGUUGAGUCGGUUAGCGGCUUCAUAUCAAGCCUUUGUGUCAUCAUUAAAUUUGUUUGGUAGGGAAACGGCUAGGGAUGACAAUGGAUUGGAUUUGAUCCAAGAUCCAUGUGAUCCAAAUCCAAUCGGAUCGGAUUUGGAUUGGUUUAAAAUGGAUUUGGAUUGAAUUUGGAUAUCGAUGUGCGGAUCUAAGACGGAUCUGGAGCAGAUAUAGAUCUAUCUUAAUAUCUAAAUCCAUAUCCAUAUCCACUCCUCUUUUUAUUUUAUUUUAUUUUAAAAGUUUCUUAAUAAUUGUAGAAUGAUAAUGAUAAUCAAUGUUAUUCAUAGCAUAUUAGUAGUAUUUACCAUGUAUUUAAAUUCUUAAAACUUAAAGGUUGGUUUUGUAAAUUUAAAGGUCAGCCAGCCUCAAAGCAUGUACAUGCAAUAUUCAAAUUGCAAUCCAAGUAAUAUAACUUGGUAAUUUAUUUUAUCAUAUUGGCCAAAUAAUUUUUAAGGAAUAUAGUUAUUCAUAUAUUUAGUCAAAUAUGGUCAUAAUAAAAAUAAUAAAGGACUGAAUAUAAAUCAUAUUUAAUUUAUAUGUCAUUAUCUAAUGUUGUAGGAAUGAGGGUAGGUGUAUCGUGGAUAUUAGAAUGAUGAAUGAGACAAUAGAAUAUUAGAUUGAUCUUACUCCUACAAUUACUUCUGAAUGAUAUUUUAUUAUCUUUCUUAUUUGUUGUUUUAGUAUAGAAGUAUAAGUUACAAUAUUUAUUAUACUUUUGAGAAAAAUUAUAUAAUUUAUUUGUUAUCAAUACAUUUUAGCCUCCAAUUUUCAAUCUAAAAAAUUAUUACUUUUUUAUUACGGAAUUUUAGAAUUCAUAACGGAUCUAGAGCAGAUUUGGAUUUUAAUUUUUUUUCGGAUUUGGAGCAUAUAUAGAUAUUUAUUUCUUUUUUGGAUCUGGAUAUGGAGCGAAAAAUAUGGAUUCAUAACGGAUCUGGAGCAGAUACGGAUCUUGAUUUUUAUUAUGGAUUUAGAUCUGGAGCAGAGUAGAUCCAACCCAUAUCUGCCCCAUUGCCAUCCCUAGAAACGGCUUGUUAAUCUUUAUUAAAAUCCUCCGACCAUGAGCAAAUAAUAUGUAAGGUGAUGAUCAACAAGCACCCGAAAUUAUAAAAAAUAGUAAGAGGUGUUAAAAGUUUUAUUGGUAUGAACCCUCUGACACUCAAGUCAAUUUAUGAAUUUACAAAAAAAAAUAAAGUAUGUAAUUUUUUAAUUUUUAUGAAGAAAUAAUCUAAAGUAAAUGUAAUAAAAAAAUAAAAAUUGAGAAAGAGAGGUUCCCUUUAUUAACUCCUCUAAGAAUUUGUGUAGGGGUUGAAGUUUUACUCUCUUAAUGUGUUUCUGAUCAAAAGAUUAAGAUUAACACGGUACAAUAAUUACUGUGUUUCGCUGUUUACAAACCCAAAAGAAAAUGUUAGAAUAUUUUAAAAAGAAAAGAAAUGAAAUCAACUUUAACAGUCGGAUAUGUGCACGAAUCGGACAGGUUACACGACGCCGUUAAAGCCAUCGUCAACCUGUGUUUAUCCCCUGCAUAAACCACAAACGUCCGUAUAGAUAAAACAACUAAAGAAUUAUACAAAAAAGAAAAUGCGAGCUGUUGAAGUGAGCAAGAGAUUAUCUCGUGCUCUCUUCUCUUUCUCUUCUUAUUCGCGUUCAUUACCGAACUUUCUACGGUCGCCAGGCUGUCACCGCAGCAGUGGCGACCGCGACACGUGUCUGCUACGCUUCCCGUGGUCCGCCACUCAACAGCGUGGCGUUAAAGUUAACGCUUCUCAUGUAAUAUUUUUUUUCAAUAUUUUUUGUUAAAUAAAUUUUAAAAUUUAUUGUUUCUAUUUUGAAAGUUACCGCUUUCACAUUAAUUAAUUGAUUGAUCUAAGUAUUCGUGCAGGUUAGGCCUGGAAAUGUUAUUGAAAAAUCAGGUUAGUUCUUAAGCAGUGCAGUGAUGGUGAGUUCGGAAGUGCUUUUAUUAAAAGCGCUCUCUUUAAGUAAUAGCUUUUUUUUUUUUGUUCUUUCCUUUCUCUUCUGCAUAAGCAAUCCAAAUUCCAAGGAGUGUUUUUUUGUAAAAUCAACUGUUGAAUUUUGAACUUUGGGAGUGUUUUUGGCACCAAUGGAAUACCUUCUAAAAGGCCAAAGGUGCCUUGGUGUUUAUUUUGAAUUGCUUGGUUGAGAUCAAAAAGCAUUUGGGAAGCUUUCUGGAGAAGCACUUGAUUCACUUUGUUCUUUUAUGAAUAAAGCUUUUGAAGUAUUUUCUCAAAGAAGCAAUUGCUAUGUGAUUUCCCAAAAUGCCUUUCUAGUGAUUUUACAGAAGGUGCUUUUAUUUAUAAGUAUAUUUAUCAAAAGCACUUACAAACACACCCAAAGCAUUUUGUUGGAAAGCAAUUAGUUCUUUCCUUAUCUUACAGAAGUACCGCAAUUGAUUCUUGAAAAAUACAUAGAAGUGCCUGUUUAUUAAUUAAUUGAAAGUGCUGUCAAAAGCUUUCACAGUUUCAGCAUAAGUGAAUUAGUUUUACUAGUUUGAAAUUGGUUUACUGUGAUGCACUAUGUAUUGACAAAAUUGCCUUUGGUCUAUAAUUUUGGUGGAUGGCACUCACUACAGGAAAGAUGUACCAGGUAUCUUUUCUGUGUGUGCUUCUCAUAAAUUUUCUCCAAUUGUGCUCGUGAAAUUUAGUUUUCUAAUGUCUUAUGUUGCUUUGGUAACUUGGUUUUAGGUCAUAGAUGCCGAGCAUAAGCAGCGAGGAAGAGGAGGGGCCAUGAUGCAGGUUUUUUCUAACUCAUGUCCGUCCAGAUUUGAGGGGAUAUUUAUUAGAAAUCCAAAUAUGCAUGAUAUAUCUAUUCUCCAUUGUUUGCUUGACUUAUUUUAUUUAUUAUUUUCAAUUCGUAUCUUAACAUUCCCCUUCCUUCUUUCACCACUGUAGAUGGAGCUUCGUGAUAUUGACACUGGGAACAAAGUAAGCUUACGGUUUGGUACAGAGGAGGCUGUUGAAAGUAUGUAUCUUAACUUGUCAUUUAUUUCCCAUUUUGCUGACUCAAGUCUAUGUUAGUUGUUCCAUUUCUGAUUGUUUAUUUGUUGUUGUUUGUUGGUUCGUGUGGCCAUUAAAUAAGAUGAGUUUUUUGAGGAGGACUUCUUCAGGCAUCUAACUUAAUAAAUUCUAACUACUAUUUGCUGGUUCUAUAAAUAUGUUGGCAGUUGCAUGCUCGAAUGUUUUCAUGUUGGUUCUUGUUUGCCUUUGUGUAAUCGAAGUUUAUUCAACAGGAUGUAGAUUUUGCACUUUAGUUAAGUUUGCUUGGUGUUGGAUGAUUAGUUUUGUUACUAAAGCGACGACUCAAUUUUUGGGUAAAUAUUUACAUGAGUGGGUGGUGGUGUGGAUAUAAUUGAUUUGAUGUAGUUGUGCAUGGCUGUUAAGCUGCUGUCCUGAAUCUCUUUUCAAAAUCAAUUACUAGAUCCUUUUUCCCUCCUGUAAUGGCAAAUGCAACACAACUUCCCCUCUAUGUUGAUAUUACUGAAAAGGCAUCAAGUUAGACUGAGGCUGACCACAGAAUCUUGGAAUUUUUUUUUUUUCCCCUCUUCUUGAACUCCUUUAAACGGGCCUUAUUGUUUUUAAGUCUUCGUUUUGCAAUGAAGUAUGAUUGAAAGCGGAAAUGUGAAAUUCUCUCUUAAUUUUAAUGGGUUUCCAGGGACACCAGUAGUAGAUGAGAACUAUAUAUGCAUCCAGACCCUUGUUCACCUAGUUAAAAAUGGAACCAUUAUACUCAAUAAACCUGCGGCACCCAUUAUUUUUAUGCCGCUUGCAUCUCUUAGGAUUUUGGCAUUUUGUUCUAUUUUGAGCCAGAUUCUCUUUUUUUUUUUUUCUUUUUUUGAGUAGUUCUAUGUUAAAUAGUAAAUACAGAUUUGUCUUAGCUUGGUUUGUCUAUUUGUAUCCUGUGGCAUAAGUAGCUUAUAUUGGGUUAGGUAACUAGCAAUUUCACUCAUUGGCAUUCAUAUAGAGCUACCAACUUUAAACAAUUUAGACUCUAGUCCUGUUUCCUCAAAGGAGUUGUGAAUUCUUUAUGUUUAUUAAUGCUAUCUAUUUUGCUGCAGGGGUAUUUGUUGAGGACAAAUCUUUCACAUGUUUAUAUACAGAAAAUGAUACUGCUUUUGUGAUUGAGUGAGUUUCUUUUCACCCCUUCCGUACUGGAUCCUGAUUUGUUAAUAUAUAUUGCUGCAAUCCGAUAAGUUUUGUGUGUGUUUGUGUGUAUGUGUAGAAAGGGCCAUCAGAUAUGUAUGUGUGUGUAUGUGUAUUUUAUAUAUAUAACAAACAUGUUGUUGUUUUUUUUUUUUGUGAUGCUUUCUAGGUCUGAAACAUUUGAGCAACUGGAAGUGCCUCUGGACGUGUUUGGCAAGGCUGGUGCAUACCUUAAAGGUUGAUACAUAUAAGACUCAGCAUUAUGCAGCUGUGCUCUCUUUAAUGUUAAUUAUGCUGUGAUGUGAAAAAUUUCCAGAUUUGUAUAUAAAGAUAUGCGUGCACAUACGUCACUUCAAGAACACCCCUUCCCCAAUGACACUCUCUAUUUCCUAGUAAGCAACUGAUGAUAUAAAGUUAUUUUCAGAAAUAAUUACUCCAGGUUAAUGGAUGGUUCUUCACUCAAGUUUUGUCACUGGUGCCACUACUAAUUGCCCCACAUGCACUACCAGAUCAUCACCAUCAACAGCCCCGUUAUUGCCAUCCUCAUCAUUUCACCCAUGCCCAUCCUAAUACCAUAAAUGUGAUGAUCCUCCUGCCACAUCUACCACCAUCCUAUAAUAAUGUUGUUACCUACGAAAUGCAUAAGCACUGGUUAGCCGAAGCUAUCAUCCUCAAGUUCCUUAGCUUUCUGCUAGUGAUUCUGGGUUUGAAUUUUAAAACCAGCCAGUUCAUUUGUGGAAGUGAUUCUUGGCUUCCAGUUCCAGUAGGUCUGAUUAGGGGGCAGGCUCCGGCUCAGGGACCGGAGGUUGGUUAUACAUGAAGGUUCAUGUGGGUAGGCACUCUGGAAAAGCAAUGCAUUUCCUUUCUUUUCUAUAAAAAAUCAUGAAUUCCUUUAAAACUUUUUCAUCUCUAUCUCUAAUUUAUAUUGUAUCGAUUGGAAGUUCAAUUUCUCCAAUCGAGAGUCGCUAUCAAGAUAAUUUUUCGUCAUUAAAUUACUCCUACAUUUUGAUGGUUGUUCUUUUUUAUUUUGUAGUAAUAGGGCUUCUUGUCACUGCUUCUAGUAUAAGUAUUUUGUUUAGUUCUUAUGCUGAUGGGUAGCUCUCUUUGCUAUUAUUAAGCAUCAACUGGCUUAUUUAGUUGUGAUUUUUCGUUGUGAGCAGAAGGAAUGAAAGUUUGGUUGCAGUUAUACGAUGGAAGAGCUUUGUCUGGAUCCAUUCCCAAACGUGUUGCAUGCACUAUUAAAGAAAUACACGCUUCUACAAAGGGGCCUACAGUCACACCUCGGUAUGGUCCAAAAACUAGCAAACGUAUGUUUACACAUAUUGUUGUAAUUAAAGGAAUGUUAAUAUCUUGUGUGCAAUGAUUGGGCUGCUGUAAAUAGUACAAAAACUAUAGAUGUAAGCCUAGCUAACAGCCCCAUUCAUAGUGGACAGAAGAUGAUAAAAUGUGACAUAAAACAAUAUAAAAUAACAUAUAAGCCUAUAAUAAAGUUACCAAAAAUGCUAUUUAACAGUCAGGAAUAAGGUAUAAUAAGUUUACCUUGCAUACAGAUUUCUUAAAAUACAAAAUUUAUGACACCUCUUUUGUCCCUAGUACGUAUUUUACUCUUCUUUGUCUUCAAUCUACAUCUCUGGAAUUUAACUUUAUUUGCCAUUGCCACUAGUGCAUUUUUUUAUACAACAGUUAAUAUGCUUAAUCAAAGAUUGUAAGUAACAAUUAAACCCACCCCGUUAAACCUAUAGGUGAGGGCCCAACAGUAGUAUUCAGGCUCUAACAUGUUCUUGCAUUCAAGGGGGAUAGAUCAAAUGUAAUCACAGGUACAUCCACAACAUAAACAACCAAACACAAAAAUACAUACGAACAGAACUUGUGGUAAUUUGAUCAACCAAUAAGGAGCCUCUCGGUCAAUUGAGCUCUGAUAUCAUGUGUUAAGUAACCACAAAACCUACAAGCUCGGGCAUAUGGGUAAUGGCUGAACUAUAAAAUUUGAGCUCUGACAAAAGCAUUUUGCAUGCUCCAUUGUUUUUGUGUGCUCGUAAACUUACAGAUUUCUUCUAAUGCAGAUAUCAAAGGGCUCUAUUAGACAACGGUGUCACUGUUAUGGUAAGUGAAAUAUGUAAAUUUUGAUGCUUUACUCUGUUCAAUCACUUGACUAAAUUAAUUUGUUUGGCAGCUUAUAUAUUUCUUUCCUCCCUAUUUUCUUUCUUUUUCUUUUUCAUUUUAUGCUUGGAGUACCUUGUGAUCCAACUCAAGGAUUCUUGUAUAAUUUCAGUCUCUGGUUAUGUUCUGUUAACUUUAAUUAGAUGAUACAAUAUAGGAACAUUUAGAGAUAUCCGAGGAUUAUCUCUCUAAGAGCUGGAAAGAAAAGUUGUUCUUUAUAGAUGAUGCAUUUACAUUCUAACUGUUGCAUAUCCGUGCCUCCAAAAAAUUCUAGUAUUGAGUGUUCAAUGCUCUGAUUAUGAUAUAUUCUGUUUACUGUAACCUUAAAAAUAUGGUGGAAUACUGAAUAUCGUGAGCACUUGUAUCAUGGGCGCAAAGAAUGUGAAAUGUUUAUAUUUAUUUUUGAAGGUACGAUAAGAUCAUCAUAGCAAUCAGCCAAUAUGAAUUUGCCACUAAGGAGCCCAGGAGCCCAUAGCUGCUGUCAGAAAGUUAUGGGGAAUGGGUAUGCUGAAAAUAGAAAAAUAAGAAAAGGUAGAAAGAAUAGGAGCAGGGGAAAGAAAAUAGAAGAACUAGGGAGAAACAUGAGAUACGUCGUCAUUGGCAAAGUCGUAAAGAAUACAAGUAACUCGAGCUCUACUUCUAGAAGAAUUGAAACUUACUCGUAACAAGUAACCUAAGUCUUUACUCAGAAGUUAUUAUUAUGAAUAGGAUAGACUAUAGCCUCUCGGAUUUGGUUAUUUACACCUUGACCCCCUAAGUGUAACCUCGCAAAGUUAGGUGUAUUUUUUCAUAUUGUUAAGACUUCAGUACUCCAUACCUGGUAGGAUUGUCUAUAUUUCCAUUCUGAACUUCUAUUGGGUUUCCGCUUAAAAAAAUGGGGUUUUGGUUUGUUUUGGCAAUUAUGUUUGUUAAGUUUGCGGCAUAUUCUGGCUGCCAUGCCUUUUUAACAAAGAAUUAAUGUUAAAACUAUGAGAUUCUGACAGCUCUUUGUAUCCUCACAACAUGAUUACCCCAGGUACCCUCUUAUCUUGAAAUUGGUGAAGAAAUAUUUAUCAAUCCUCAGGAUGACUCCUAUAUUGGCAGGUGAAUUUUGACGCGUUAUUUCUGUUUUGCAAUGCUAACUUAUCUUCUCUGCAUCUUCUUUUUUUAAUACCUAUCUGCUAAUGGCAUGUCACUGCAUCAGUAACAUAUAUACUAGGAAUACUUCAUUGCAGUUCGCACCUUGGUAUCUGUAUUAGUUUCCUUGGUAACGACCAACAAUGAAACAUGAAAAAGGGAUGAAAUAUACUUGCUAUUGUAAUAGCAACUGAGUAUUAUUUUCUGCUACAUGACUGGCGCAUUUUCUAUUCUACGAGGCAAUACCUUAAGAUUUCUACUGUUAUGCUAGAAGUAAUAUUAGUAAUGGUGUUAUCAUUUUCCUUUUUUCAUCUUGCUGUUGUUGAACGACAGCAUUUGAAAAUUGUUAUCAGUUAUAACAGGCUGCUUUUCUAAUAUGUUUUCAAUGAUUUCAUCUCUUGUUCUCAGGGCAAAAUAAACCUGUGUGUCGUUUACUACAUAUAUAUAUAUAUAUAUAUUUUUUCCCGAAGGAGAUGUGAAAGCCAUUUGUGUGCCAUACCUUGGCAUUAGACUAACGACAGUGUACUCAGAAAAGUAGAGCACUGGAUAUUUUAUUUGUUUCUCCUUUGCAGUUGAGGGAAUGGAAUAAAAUUUCGUAGAGCAGGGGCAUAUUUACUUUUUAUUAAUCACUGCUGCUGCUUUGAGUGAUAUCACAGAGAAUGAAUAAGAAUAAGAGUAAACAAUUUUUUUUUUUCCCUCUCCGCUUUGAUGUGGUGGUACUUGUGAAUUUAAGUCGUGCAAGCAGCACGAAUACUGGUGUAACUAUUUUUUCUAGGCAAAAUAUGGGACACAUGUAACUAACUAUUUUUUUUUAUAAUUUUUACCAUUUUGUUGUCCCAGUCUCAUACUGGUGAAAAUCUGAACAGCUACAAAAUUAAUUCAAUGGCUGAUAAUGCUAGUAGAUGAACCACAAAUUCAAGAUAAUCGACAUUUUCUGUACAAUAUCUUUUAAGGUUGAAGUGAAAUGAAACGUGUACCUCAAAUGGUCUUUUCAUCAGAAAAGGUUUUGAAAUCUGCUGUCCCAAAAAAUAUAUAUAUAUAUAUAUAUAUAUAUAUAUAUAUAUAUAUAUCUUUCCCUUAUCCCAAAAAAAAAAAAUCCUCGUUCAGUUUGUUAAAACAAUAUUAAACUUUUUUAAGGCAAAUGAAUGAACCAACAGGUGGUCAAGAAGAUCCUAAAGGGAAUCUCAAUCAACUAAGAUUUUGAAACAUCAAAAUCAAAACAAAAAUCUUGAAAAUGUGUAAUAUGAAAUAUUCAUUCCAGUGGAUAAAGCAAUUGCGAUAAGGAAAAUUUCCCACGCAGGAUCAACAGUUGCCAAAAAAGGGCUCGAUGCAAAGUACCUGUUUAUAGAGUACAAAUUUUAUUUAGUUUCGACAUUUUUGCUCGCAGUUUUUCCAAGAGAAGCUCUCUCUCGUAUUCAAAAUGGUUGUCAAAAGUAUCCUACUUUAGUCACACCCAAAAAGAUAAUCAAUCAGGCAUGAUGGUUCUUGAAGGUCCUACAUCAAUUGUGAUUGUAAAGAAUUCCAAACAAAUGGUUUGAUUUCUCAAGGUCUGAAGUGCAAAAACCGCCUGGAAUACAAACAAAAUGCCAAUUUAUUUAAUACUCAUUUCCAACCGAAUUCUUCAUUCAUGUCAAAGACUACAACCCCACUUUCUUCUCAAGCUUUUGGAUCUGAUUGAGGAAUAUCCAAGUCAUCUGCAAGACCAUGCAUCCGUUGAUCAAUAAACAUGAGAUAUCAUAUCUCACUUAAAAUUUAGCUUUUGGUGCGAGGAUAUUGAUAUUAAUCGAGGUCAAGUGCACAAGUGAUAAAGAAUGACAGAAGUGAGAAAGAGAGAUUACCAUGACAUGAGGAGCAAUCCGAACACAGUACACAGGGAAACCAGUGUAAAAUUUGAAUGGUCCACCAGCCUUGAGGGUUUUCAUGGCACAGUCCAUAGAGCCUGUGUAUGGAUACUUUCCUUGAGCAUCUGGUUGCAUUUUCUGAAUUUGUGUUUUGACAUAAUCAAAGGGUAAACUGCAAGCUGAAGCAAAGAACCCUGACACUGUACUCGCCCCUGAGAACAAAAAGGAAAAAGCAAGAUAUUAGCCACAGACAACAUGAAUCUUCCUCAGGAUCAAAGGAAAAACAUCAAAACACUUAGAACCGGCACACUACAACUUGCGCCCCUGCUUGAAAACUCAAAGGACCGCACAUCCUUGAUCAGAUGUCUCAUGAUCAAGCACAACCAGUUUAUAACAACCAGGAUAAAAGGAUAUAAGGGAAACCACAAUUCAAUUUCGCAUGUAGAACUCUAUUUAGGAUGUUUCUCAUACUUCUGACAAUUGAUUUACUAAAGGACCCAACUUAUGACUAUAUCACCAACCAAAGAAGAAAUAUAAUCAGAAACAACAUCAAUCACGCAAGAAAGAUGAGUAAAAAGUAAUCGAUGAUGGUCAUAGUAAUUGAUGACAGUCAUUCACAUAAUGUUCCAGAUAAAACUAGUUUCCAAACCGAUUAGAUUUAUAAUAUCAACAAAUCUAGGCAGUUAACCCAAAGUAAUUGACUUGUUUAUCCCUAAACUAAAAUAACUACCAGAGUCUCAGACCACCAAAGCAAGGGCAUAAAAGAUGAGACCAAUUAAAAAGAAUUGCAAACUAAUGAUUAGUACUUGAAAUGAAGAAUGGGAGAAUAUAUUAAGAAUUUGUUCAGUAAGACAAACAAAGGAAAAGAUGGAAAUGCAAAAACUCCUUUCUCAGAUAUCAAAAAUGUCAUCUCAUUAGCCAAAAGGUCAUGUGAACGGCAUCCGGACAAAUCCAAAUGUGCAUUGAGAGGUUGGGAAAGAGAGGGAUCAUUUGGCCAUGAAUAAUAAAGGCUGAAAAGAGAUCUCUAAACUAACUCCACAGUUCUAAUGGAAAUAAGAAUUCAACACAUUCGCAGUUUUGAAUCCAGCACAUAUAUUAACACUUCGCAAGAUCUAAUAUUCAUUAUCCUUACUAAAAGAAAAUAAUAAGUAACUUAUACCAAGGGCAGAGUGUAAAAUUCUAUCAGAAGAGAUGUGCUUAAUCUGGAUGUAACAAAUGACAAAUUCCAUUUACAUGAAACAAUAUUCAUAAUUUCUGUCAAAGUCUUUCGAACCUGUCUAUUGCUUAUGACAACCAUUGAAAACCAUUUUUUUUUAACCCUUGAGAAGAAACUUUAGCCAAAGAUAACACACUGAUUGCAGAGAAUACUUGCCGAUUACUGUAGGAAGUUCAGACAAGCCACACGCAUCUCUGAAAAACUCAACACUUUGAUCGUAGGAGGCAAGCAUGCCCAUGUUCAAUGCCAUAGCUCUCACAACAGUAGGACCUGCACCUUUCCAAAGUGCUAAGACCCCUUCAUCUGCAACAAUACGAUAAAGAGCUUGGAAGGCAUUAGUGUAAUUGCGGCGUUGAGCAGCAGGUAGUGUGGCAUCAGCCUGCAUUCGGAUAAGUGCCAAAUCUGCUGGACUACCAACAGAAGCUCCAAUAGCACCAGCAGUUAGCCCACACAAGGCUUUCUGAUACAAUGGAAGAGGCUUCCCGUCAUUGGCUUCAAUUGCUUUGUUUGUCAAGAUCCUAGAAAAAAGAGAGAUGGAAAUCCAAUAAACAGCAAAUAACUAUUUAUUUAAGAAAAAGUAAAAAAAAAAAAAAAUCCAUGUCUCAUUCUUUUUUUGUUUUGUUUUGGGGUGGGGGGGGGGGGGGGUGUAAAACACAAAUGAAAAGAAAAACUCACCUAAAUGAUCCAAGACGAGCAGUGGUAUAUGUAGCUUGCCUGAGCAGUCCAGCAGACAACCCCUGCUCAAUAUAAAAUAGUUUAAACAAACCUAAAGUAAGAAAUCGUUUUUAGUCUAACUGGCCAUGUAAGACCACAUUUUAAAUUUUGAAAACAUGACAGUACACAUUUAGGUUAAAGUCCACAGAAAUGGGAGAUUAGCAGUUUCUUAGUCUAUCCCAUUCAUAUCACAAAAGCUAACAAAACCAAACAAGGAUCCAUACAAACCUUGUAAAAGGCACCAAAACCCUCAUUCUUAAGCAUAGUCUUUGUCACGGUACCGGCGGAUCCCUGGCCCAGCUGAAUUCUCACCUGCCAACAACAGAAAACAACCAAACAAAUGGAAUCAAACAUAAAAUUGAAACAUCAAAGAACGAAAAUCCCGCAAAUCAAAACAACAUAACCUUCCUAAAAUACCCAUCCAAUCACAGAUCUAAAACACAUCGAAACUCAAAAGAACCCACUUGCAGCACCCAAAAAAAAAAAAAAAAAUCAAAACUUUAACACACUCAACAAAUAAGAGUCCAAUCUUUCACCCAUACGACAACAUAAAAACACAAACCCACAUCCGCUUUCGAGUAAAUUUGCAUUACCUUGAUCAUAUCGAUGGGCUGAAUGACACAGGUGGCAAGCAUACCAGAGGCACCACCAUUGACAAAAGGCUUAACAGUGGGCCAUACACCAGCUGAUUGUGGCUUCUUCUCCUCUCCCAUUUUUUUCUUUUGGAUCCAAGAAAGCUUAAGCUGGCUAGAGAGAGAGAGAGAUAGAAAGAAGAUUGAGUACAGAAGGAGAGAGGGAGGUGGAAGGAGGCAAUAUAAAGAAGGGAAGCAAAAGCACCAAACCAAAUACAAACCCUCCAAGGCUCCAACCAAAAUUAUUUAUUUAAUACUACUUUAAUUUUUUUUUCUUUUUUUUUUUCCAAAAAUCAAUUGUUGUGCUGAAUUUCAUUUUACAUAUUUUUUUCUAUUUUACUUUGACUAUGUCUAUUUUGCACUUUAUUAACAUGAAUAUUUUAUGUUUUUAAUAAAUUGAAAAUAGCAUUGAUAUGAACGAAAGAAUUUGAACAUAGGCCUUGGAGAAGUUAUUAAUUUUUUUUAAAAAAAAUGACUACAUAAAGAGAAUGAUGGUUAGUACAUAUUAUGAUAAAUUAAUGCACAUUCAAUAAUUAAUAUGUUGUCUUUUUUUUGUAUUCUUAUUUUUGUUGGAGAACAUUUUAUCCUUUAAUUCAUUUUGAGUGAUUUAAUUCUUACAUUUAAAAUUAUAAAAUAAAAAGAUAUCAAACUUUUAAUUGUAUCGAGUUUAAAUAUGUACAAGGUACACCACUUAAUCAUUUUUAAUUGUAAUGGAGUAUUUGACUUGGAUUCAACGGACCCUACCAUUUUAAUAUGUUUUUAAAAUAUUUAAUUUCGAGGAUCUAAAAUGUCAAACUAUGUUGAGAGGAGCAUAUAUAAUAUAAUAUAGAAAUAAAAUUAAUUUGACAAGUCACUUUUUAACUUCCUCAACGUUGAAUAGUUUAAAGAUGUUGGCCAUAUAUGAGAUGAAUCAUCAUGUAAUAAAAUUUUGAUUCAUAGAAAAUCAUACAGAUGUAAAGUCUAUUCGAUCUAAAUAAUUGUAUAUAAAGGACUAUAUUUUCACACUUUGACUUGAAUUAUAUUAUUUAUAUGAUUUCGGAAUAGUUUAUUAGGUUAUUGCAUUUGUUCAAGAUCCAUAAAUUUCAUGAGUUAAACAUUAUUAUUAAAAAAACAAAAAUUAUUACAAAUAAUUGGGUUUUUUGUAGAUAAAAUAUUUGUUUUUUCAUCUAAACUCGUUUGUUGUUCGUUUCUUUAAAAUGGAAGUUGAAGAAGUGUCAAAUUUGACUUCAUGCUUUUUUUUUUUUUGAAUACUGUUAUACAGGACUAUAAAUAUUAUAAUUAAUAUUUACAAACAGAUUCUACAAUUGAGACCUUUUUCGUGGCAUGUACUCCUUUGAAGUGCUGUCCAAAUUCUUCAAACCCUCUCAAAUAUUCGAGGGCUGUCCACUCCACUCACAUUUCGUGAGAGAUAGACUAACUCUACUCAAUUAUUUAAUAAUUAAAGGAAGAUUGUAAAUAACCUCCAUAAAUGCUUUUAUGAAGGCUCGAACCCUUGCACUCAACAUUGUAAGUGCAAGGGCUCUCCCAGUUGACCAAAGGGUCAUUGGUAAUUUGACUUCAUGCUUGGUUAAAGAUUGAUGGGAUAGCGAGCACUUUGCUUUUCCGAGACCAAAAAGUUAGUAUAAUGUAAUUUAAUAAACAAAUAAAUAGGUAAUUCUACUUUUUUUUUUAUUUUACUUUUUGUCGAACAACCCCAUUGCUUGUGGUGAUGUUGGGAAUUCUUUAUUUAAUAUAUAUAUAUGUAUUAUAAAAUCCAAAAUGGACGAUAAAAUUCAUAGAAAUAAAAAUAAAUGGCUUUAUAAGUAGAGAAAGGAAUAUAUAUAUAUAUAUAUACCAGAAGGAAAUAUGAUCGAAGGAUAGGUGUGUUUUCAAAAGGACUCAAUAUUAAAACCUUUAAUACGACAAUUAAUAGAUCGGCUUGUUCCAAAUUUUAAAAGAACUUACCAGCUUUGAUUUAAGUUGAUUUGCUUUAAUGGAUUUGCUUUGAAUCGCGGUUGGUCAGAUUUUAAAAGUACGUGGCGUUGUAUCUAGAUCGAUGCAGAGCCAAGUCUGCCUUUGGCACUAGAUCUGACUUAGGACAGAUCAAUAUGCCGCACGUUCUAGUUUCCAGCCGAUAUACCGAAAAAUUACCAAAUAAAGUUUAGAUUCUUUGCUUUGAAACGAGAUUAGUCAAUUUUAGAAGUGUCUUUACCAGAUCUGGGUUAGGUUCUUUUUAGCAAACCUAGCAACAGGGCUUUGCAUAAAUAAACAUGCAUUAAGGAGGGCUUCUAAUCAUACACAGUACCAGAUCCGGUUCCCGGAAAUGGUGCUCUGAAGAAGGAGGGAGAGAGAAGAUUUACAACUGAGGAUCGAGAUCUGGUCUCUUUGCCUCAGAGGAACGUAUAUUUUAUAAAGCAGAUCUGAUACAGAUCAGUCUGCAAGCAUGCUUUGUAAAAUAAAAUGCUUUAAAUUAAAGUGCAGAAAGUAAAUGCUGUAAAGUAAAUUGCAUAAAUUUAAAUUACAUUGAACUUUAAAAUUUAAAUUACUGAAAAUUAAACAUACAUCUUUUCUUUUGGCUUUACACUUCUUCAAAUCUUUCCAGAAGGGAAGAUUGAAAGACGGGAAGAUUACCGAAGUAAGAACUAGUCUGUUCACCCAAAGCUCUGUGGUAGAACUAUUGUGUAAACAGAAAAUUUCUUUGAAUCCGGACUCUUCCUAAAAAGAGAGCUUUUUAGAGAGAAGGAGGAGAAGAGAGAGAGAAGUUCUAAUCUAAAAAUGAAAAUCUGAGGAGUCUAAGUCUUCCUCGUAGAAUAUAUACAAAAAAUUGAAACUGUUCACUGUAGCGGAGCUAUAUGUGCACAGUAACCUUUGGAAAUUGAAACUGUUCACUGUAGCGGGUUUUUAAGUGCACAGUAACCUUUGGAUCGUAGUUUUGAAUAGUAGGCUGACCGUAGCUGGCUGACCGUAGCUUUGAACAGAAGACUACUUUGUACAAAUACUAGAAUACAUACUAGAAUACAAAAUGAAAUUCAAUACGGGUGAAGAGCAUGUGCGCUCUCACUUGUGUCCAAAGGACCACCCGAGGAUAACUUUUCUUUUUUUUUUUUUUUUUUUUUAAGUAAAUAAUCAAAUAAUUAUUUACAAUGCUUUACAGGAGAGAAGAUGCCGAAACAGUCAUCUUCAUUUUCGUCGCCGAGGGAAACGGUUGGCUCGUCAUCAUCAUCGUCUUCAUCUUCAGUGGAAUCUGCUACUGAGGACUUGGAUCGGGAGGCGAGGAGCUGUUCCAUUGCUUUGAAGUAUUCUUCUUCUGUUUUGGCACUUGCCAAAAGAGAUUGGGCUUUGGAUUUCUGGGUAAGGAAAGUUUGCUGGGCUUUGGUGUCUUUAAUGGUUGGCUGUAGAUGACCUCUAGAGGAGAGCCAUUUUUCAACCUCACUUGUAGUCAAUUUAGAUUGUUCGUCGAACUUUGACCACCAUUUGACUUUGAAGGUUCUUUGGAGGAUUACUUGGGAAUCCUGGUUAUGAAGUCGAAGACUCCACAUCCAAACCCAAGGAAGGAAGAAAUUUGUACAAAAACAGAGAAAAUGAGGAAAUCUUUUCUCAGACUCAGAAGGUUUAUAAUGGGCUUUGAAUAGGUUUAAGCAAUUUUGGGCGUUAGGUGUGAGGAUAUCUGGACUUGGUCCAAAAUGAUUCCACCAAUGUUGGAACCAAUUUGGUAAACUUUGAACGGUUAUUUUUGGAUUGAAGAAAAAUAACCAUGAAUGAGAUUUUUUAGGGUUUUGGAUAUAAAAAGUGUUAUACCACGCCUGUUGGUAAUCCCAAUAGGAAAAAGUCCUACAGUGAGGUAAACGGGUCUCAAAAUUGAGAGGGAAAGUUUUGAAAUUGUGGAGCAGGUCACCCCACUGGUUUGGGCUCAAUACCUUUAAAAUAGUGGCCGUAGAGUAGGCCGGCUCAGAAUGAGAACUGCUGAGAAAGAAAUGUUUAAAUUUGACUGACUCAGUAAUUUCCAAAAUGCUUUGAUAGUAAGACUGGGGUUUUGUCAAAUCCCAUGGUUUGAAAAACCAGCCUUUGGGAAAAAACUUUGAAAUGCUUUGAAAAGGAUCAGAAUUGUAAAAUCCAUCUUCGAUUGAAAGAAUGUUUUGAAAAUGGUUUUUAUCAAUCCAAUCGGAUGUUUUCUUUGAAAGUGUUGGCUGUGAAAGUACAAUUUGAGAGGAUGAACUUUCACAAGACACAACCACAUUUUGAGAGGAGGGCUUUGAAAUGUCUUUGGGUUUUUCUUUUUCUUCUUGAAGAGAAGAUUGGCUUUGGGAAAGGUUUUGGAGAGCUAUCAUAAGCUCAGGAGAUUUGGUAAUGGAACUCAUCCAUUGCUUUACUUGGUCAUCUGAAGAGGUGGAUUUGUACUGGGCUUCAUGUUCUUCGACCAAUUCAAUCCAAGAUUUUAUAGGUAAGGCCGAAGAAAGUAAUUUUUCUUUAGAGGGGGUUGAAAUUGGUUCUUUAGGUGGUUCUUGGGAACCAGAGGCUUUGAGAGCAGCUUUACCUUUGUCUUUGUCCCUUUUUGGCGGCAUUAUCUGUUUUGAAGAAAUUCUCUGGUUAGAAAAUCCGGAACAGAAUUUUUGUCACCUUUAAUGAACUCAAUGUCAAAAUCAAAAACACUUAAUAUUGCUUGCCAACGUGCAAAAAUUUGUUUAGAUGCAAUGUUUUGAACAUCCUUUUCUAAAACAUGUUUUGCAGCUUUACAAUCAAUUCUAAGUAAAAAUUUUUGAUUUAAUAAAUCACUUUGGAAUUUAGAUAUGCAUAAAACAAUAGAAAGAAUUUCUUUUUUGAUAGUAGAAUAGUUUUUCUGGCAAUCAUUCCAGUGUGCAGAAACAUAUUGUACUAUCUGUUCUUUAUCAUUUUCUUUUUGUUUCAAAAUACCUCCAUAACCUAUGUCUGAUGCAUCAGUUUCAACAAUCUUUGGUAAUGUAGGAUUUGCAAGAAAUAAACAUGGAAUGUUUUUUACAGAUUGCUUUAUUAAUCUAACAACUUUAGUAUGCUCAUCCGACCAUGCAACAGGAUUCUUUUUUAACCUAUCAUGCAAAGGUUUAGACAUCCUAUUGAUGUUAGGGCAGAAAUCAAGAAUAUAGUUCAGACUCCCAAGAAAUCUUUGUAAUUGGGUUUUAUCAAGAAUUUUGUCUGGGAAUUUAUCUGCAAACAAAAGAGAUCUUUCAAUGGGGGUAAUGGUUCCUUUGGAAAUAUGGUGACCGAGGAACCGGACUUUUGUUUGAAAUAAAGAAAUUUUUGAACUAGAGAGAGCUGGACCAGCCUUUCUAGUAGCAAGAUAAAAAGUCUUUAGAUGUUUGAAAUGUUGAUCAAUCGUUUGGGAAAAUAUCAACACAUCAUCAAUGUAAACGAUGCAAAACUCAGAGUAAGGAUUGUAAAUAUCAUUCAUAAUUCUUUGAAAUUCUGAGGGUGCAUUUUUUAAACCAAAGGGCAUUACUGUCCAUUCAUAUUGACCAAAGGGAACAGUAAAUGCCGUUUUAUAACGGUCUUUAGGAUGGAUUUGAAUUUGCCAAAAACCCGACUUCAUAUCAAACUUUGAAAAAAUGAAGGCUGAGCAGAGUUUUUGAAGUAAAUCUUUUUUGUUAGGUAUGGGAUACCUAAUCCAUUUUAAAGCUUUAUUUAAAGGUUUAUAAUUGAUCACAAGUCUAGGAACACCUCUUUCGAUUUCAGAGUUUUUAUUAACAUAAAAGGCAGCACAAGACCAUGGUGACCUAGAUUUUACUAUAAGUCCCUUUUUCACAAGAUCAUUUAUUUCUUCUUUACAAUGCUGCUCCAAUUCCAUAUUCAUUUGGAUUGGACGAGCUCUGGUUGGUAUAUGCUUUUCGUCAAAAGAGUUUUCAUAUGGCAAAUCAACUAAAUGUUGCUUUCUAUUCCAAAAAGCAGAAGGUAAAUCAGCACAUAUCUCUUUUUCAAUGAGGGCUUUAAAAUCAGAAAUUUUCCUUUGUACAUAACUGCUUUGUAGUUGACUAUCAAUUCUCUGAAAACUUAAAUCCUUUUGUAAACAAGAUAAAUCAUCAUGUUUAGAUUUAAGAAUGGCAUUGAUUUGGGUUUUAUAAACAGAACAGGCUUUGACCAUAUUUAAGUUUCUGGUCUUUGGUUUUUCAAUAAAUGGGAAAACCAGGUUUUUAGACUUUGCUUUGAAAUAUAUACCAUCGUAAUUGACAGCAUAAGGAGUAAUGAGGUUUAUAAACGGAGUCCCUAGAAUGAUAGCAUGGUGUAUAUCAUUAGUAAGAACAAAAGAUGUUUUAAAUUCAAUGUCCUCAUUAUAAAUAGAAGCUUCAACUUUAGAAUUGACUUUUAAUUUUGAAUUAUUUGCAGCAGAUAGUCUUUCAUUUGUCCUUUCAUGAAAACGUUUUGGGACAAUGUCUUCUCUGAUGCAAUUUAAAUCAGCACCAGUAUCAAAAAGGGCAAUUGCAUCUAUUGCAAAAUCUUUAGAAAAGAUUAAUGUAAUUUUAACCAAAUAUUUUCUGGUGGUGAUUUGUUUUAAGACAAAUAAAAAAUCUUGUGGAACAGAUUUAAUGUUCUCAACUUUCUGAUCAAUAUUAUCACCAUCAUCAGGAGUCGACUCAUUAUCUGAGUUAUCCUGUAAUUGCUUUUGUAAAAGAAGUUGGAUGGUAAUAGAAUCACUUUGCUGUUUUUCUUUUAAAUCCUUUAUUUCAAGUUUAAUAUCCUUGAUCUCCUUUUGAAGGUCUUGGAUACUAGAAGUAGACUUUUUUGUUUUCUUUUUGUCUAAAAUCUCAGUUAAAUCAUAGGAAUUCUUUUUAACAAUAGGAACAUUUGAGGUUCCUGCUUUAUUUGAAUCCAUGGUUUUCAAAAGUUUAUCAAGAUAUUCUUUUUGAAGAACUGGAUCAGAAAUAUGCUUUACAAGUUCGAGGAAAAUCUCUUGGUCUUUAGUCAAAACAUUGAUUUUCUUUAAAUAAGAAUCAGAAUCAGAAUCACUACUGCUAGAUGCAGAGCUAUUUGAAUCAAAAAGUUCAUCAACUUGAAGAGGGUCAUUUUCUCCCUACAUGGAAGAUUCAGAAUCAGAAGACUCAACAAGAAGGGGGGCAAUUUUGGAAAGGAUAUCUUCAUUGAGGUCAAGCUCAUGAAGUCUUUUGUUCAUUCUGCAAAAUUUUGCAGUAUGACCUUUCAUACCACAUUUGAAACAAGUGGCAUCUUUGAAGUUGAAAGGGGUUUUUGGAUUAGCUUUAAACUCUUUCUUUUUAGAGAAACCGUGUUUCUUAUAAGGCCUCGAAGGUUUCUUAUAAGGAAGUUUUCUAAAAUCAUGAAAGGGUUUCCUAUGGCUUUUAUGCUUGUAAUGUUUUCUGUAAGGUUUUGAAGAACACUUGCCAUUACAAUCUUUGGAAGUAGAAGCUUUAAAGGGGUCAUAAUUGAAUUGUUUACAGAAACCUCCUAAUUCUUGCUUAGAUUGUCUAAGCUCUUGCUUUAGUCGUUUCUGUAAUUUCAAAUCCUGACAAAUCUUUAAACCUUCUUUAUUGACAAAACUGACUAGUUCACCAUAGGUGAGCUCGUCAUAAGGAAUACGAUUGUCAAAAAGAGCUUUGAUGGAGUUUCUUACCUUUUCUCCCAAUAGGGUAGGUAAACCUGCAAGGAAUUUCUCCUUCCAAGUUACAUGAUUUGCAUCAUCCCUAAGGAAGAGUCUGGUAAAGAAAGUGGUUUUGUAGUCUUGGAAAUCACUGAGUUUCCUACAUCUUAAGUUAUGUAGUAACUCGGCAUUUUUGUCUCUGAGGUGAGAAGGGUCACCUAUGAAAUGAAGAGAAAUAGUCAAAAUCAGGGUAGCAACAGCAUCCUGAAUAGGGUUAUUUAAUUCGUCAAGAAUGGGGGAACCAUUCUCAUCGAUUUGGAUGGCAUUUAAGAUGUCUAAUUGCUGCAAUUUGGUGAGAAGAUGAUCCCACCAUCCUUUAAGUUGACCAGUAAAACCUGCAAUUAGGAUUUCUGCAAUGGCUUUGUCAGAAGUUCCUGAUUGGGUUUUGUAGGCAUUGGCUGCCAUGGUCAUUUGCUGCAAUACACCUAGGAUGUUAUACUCAGACAUUCCAUCUAUAUUCCACUCGUAGACAGAGGAUGCAUUAUAUCGAGCUUGAUUUAAUGCACUGGGCCUGUUGUCUAUAGUCAAAUCAGGUGGAGAUUUGGAAGUAGGAAGAGCUAACUCCCAUUGGAUUUUAUUGGCUUUAGGAAUAGGUGUUUCGGUAAAGGCUUCUAAGUCUGAGGAGGCUAUAGAAACCUGGUCUUGCUCCAAUACCCCAAUCUUGCUAGAUUGGGGAGUAUCAGGGGCAAUAUUAACUCUGUUUGAUGAGGAAGAAGCAGCUUCUAUCCUAUCAAGUUGUUCACGAAUAGCUUUAGCAAAAUCUGAUUUUGAUUCAUGGACAAGCUUUUGGCUAGUUUUCGAAACCUGAAAAGGUUUGAAAAUAGGUUCUUUAAGCUUUUUAUCAUAAUCCGAUUUUGAAGAAACAGGUUUAGGACUGGGAGAGAUAGAAAUUGUCGACUGUUGGAAUUGAUUUUCAAUUCUAGUCAACUGCUUACCUAUAGUAUUUAAAUUAGUAUUACAGAAAUUAUUCUGUUGGAUAAUACUACUUAAAUUACUAUCAGUAUCAUUGAUUUUGGGGAUUUUGUAAGGUGAAGCACGAAUUUGGAUAGGAGGUUCACCGUGAUCAACGGUUAUACUCCGAAGAGGUGGAUGCUCAGACUCGACAAUUCUACUACUAUCGUGGAGUUUCCAUUCAGUGGUCUUCUUCCUGAUAGUAAUAGGGUUUGAUUCUUUAAAAGGGUAAGAAAUGUUGUUCUCAGAAGAAUAUAUUUCGAACCAAUCAAAAAACAAUAUAUGAACUUGGUGAAGAUUCACAAAUUCAUAAUAAGUUUGUUGGAUUUCUUUUCUUUGUUUUAGAAAAUGCUCAAAAAACCAAAGUCUUUUUCCUUUAUUGUUUUCUGAAUAAAAAUCAUUAUGAAGAAGAGUUUUAUCUAAAUCAAACUGUUUUUCAAUAACAUUUAAAACGUUUUCUGUGACUGCAGAGAACGUAGGGGAUGUUGGAGGAGAAGGUUCCUUCUCUUCCUGUCUUUGUUCAUGUUGACUGCUAAUAUAGAUUGGAUGAGGAACUUUUGUAGUAUAGUCAACAGAACGAAUAGAGGAGCUAGGUACAUCCGAAGUGGAAAACCUGGGUUGACUUUGAAAAGGGAGAUUUAUAACAGAAGGGAUUUUUGUAAAUUUCCUUUCUAGCGAAGGAAUGCUUGAGCAUGAUUCUUUAUCGGAGAAUCUAGAAGAAUUAGAUCUCCUAAAUGAUAAUUUGACUUUACCAUCUGAAUACUGAGUCACAUUUUGCAACUCUGUAUUUGGCUCAAGUUGUUUUGGAACUGCUGGUGGAGCAACUCCUUCAAGAAUCCAUUCCUCUGGAAGAUUUACAUCUUUCCAUUGGAUUGGUUUUGGAAUAACUGUGUUUGCUUUAGACAAGUCAGUCUGUAAGAGAAGAGUCUCAUCCCUUUUUGACUGGAAUUUAUGCUGCGUGCUAAACGCAGAGAUCAUAGCCUUAUAUGAGAUUUUAAAGAUUAAAGCUACAGGGACAGAUCCCUCAAUCAUAUUAUAAUUAUGCGUUUUAAUCUGUAAAAUCAUGCUUUUCAGAAUAUUUUUGUCUUUAAGAGAAAGAGUGAUAUUUGGAUAACAAUCAAAAGAAAUUGGACCUUUACAGAGACUAGAUUCGAUGCUACUUAGCAAAGAAUCAUCAAAAGAGAUGAAUCGACCAUCUCUAAGGACAGCAAGGAUAGAAGUAUCCAAGCCUUCUUUGGUUAAGGGCUUUAUUCCUAUUUGGAUUAAACCAAUGUGGAUGUAAUUGAAAUUCUUUUCUUUUAAUUUCUUUAAAGACUUUUCUGAAAACAAAUGAAUUGUUUCAAAUGGUGAAGAAAGAGUGAUGUCUCUUUCUUCAGUUUUAAUAACAUAAUCACUUUUAAAGAAAUCAAGCUUUUUUGUCUUGUAAAUUUGUUCUUUUGAAAUCUUUGGAAGUUCCCAACAAUCAAUUGCUUUAUCAAAGUUCUCAAUAACGAAUUCUUCUGAACUCACAACAUGCUUUGAAUCACUAGUCUUCCCGGAAGAAGAGCUAGAAAAGGACGAUGUACGGCAAUAAAGAGGAUUCAUGGUUAGAACCCUGUGGUCUAAAUCUGGUUUGGUCAAAAUGGCUACAGGUAUGGUUUUACAGCCCUAAACGGAAAACUUGUCCUUGAACGGGACUUACGACCAGUAAAAAUUCACCACAAAAACAAAACUUCAAAAUAAGAACACAAGAUUUUAAACACAAAAUUCUAAAUUGCUUUACACAAUCCUCCCCUUGGCUCUGAUACCAGAAGGAAAUAUGUAUGUUUAAUUUUCAGUAAUUUAAAUUUUAAAGUUCAAUGUAAUUUAAAUUUAUGCAAUUUACUUUAUAUAUAUAUACCAGAAGGAAUAUAUAUAUAUAUAUAUAUAUAUAUAUAUAUAUAUAUAUAUAUAUAUGUAUAUAUGACUCAAUUUUUUUUUUUUUGUUUUCCCUAAACGGUAGAGUAAAGAGUUUGAUUGGGCACAUGUUCUUGCUUGUCAUGAACAAAAUCAUUCGUUGAACAAAUUAAUAAGCAACAAUUCAAUAUAUAACUUAGUGUUAGUUAUUUUAGGUGGCGUUUGUUUUUUAACUUAAUAAAUUAAAGUGAUUUAACUUAAUUAAUUAAGUUAAUUAGAUAUGCUUGUUUUUAUAACUUAAUGUGACUUUUUAGAUAAUUUUGACUUAAUAAAAUAAGCCAAUUUUUUUGGCUUUUUCCUUAAUAGAGACAUCUGAAUUAAGUCAAUUACUUUCUAAUGUCAAAAAUAUCCCUGCUUUAUAAUUUAUUUUUCAUGUCUAUCCCAAAACUCACUCAUAGACAUUUACCCCACAUAAUAAUCUCAUCAUUAUUUUUUUAGCCGUCAUUAAAUCCCUCCUCACUUUGGUAUCAACUCCUCAACUAUUGAAGAUCAAAAUUACAUGCGACAAUUUCGAGAUGAAAUGGCAAAUCAACUAUUUCAAGCAUCUUAUUAGUUUUUUUCUUUUUUAUAUUAUAUACGAUCAAAUUUAUGGUAUUUUAUAUAUUAAAACUCCAAAAUCAUUAUGUAUUCACUUGAAUAUAGUUUUACUUAUAAAUGUUAAAAUAUUGUGGUAUUUAAUAUAUUAUUUAUUUGACAUUCAAAUUUAAUAAGGAUACAAAUGUAAAAGUAUAUAUUUUUCAGUUUUUUAAGUUGAAAAAAACAAACAACUUAAUAAUUAUUUUUCAAGAUUCAGACGAAAAAACAAACAUAUUAUUCAGAUUCAGACAUUCAUAUCUAUUCAGAAUUCAGAUUAAUUCAGGUCUAUUUAGAUUUCAGACAAAAAAAUAAAUGCCACCUUAGUUUAGUUAUUUUAGUUGAUAAAACUUCUUAAAUUGAAGUAAGAGUUUGGAAUUUCAACUCCAACUCAUAUAAGUGAACAGAGGAUUUAAUCACUAAGAGUCUGUCUGCUAUAGUUUUUCAAAUACAAUUUAUUGAAAUAGAACUUUUACAAGUAGAACUUUUAUUUUAAAAAAAUUAGUUUUCUAACUGCUAAUCAGAGUUUUUAUUAAAAAUUAUAAAAUUAUUUUAAUGGACAAGUUUUUUAAAACUAUGAUUUGAAAAUAAUGAAAUAAGAUUUAAAUAAAAUUAUCAAAUAAGUAGAGAAUAUUUUAAAUAUUUUAACAUUUAGAAAGAACUUUUCAACUUAUAUUUUUAAAAAUCUAAAUUUGAGUUUUUGUCAAUACUUGGUAAAGGCAAAACAAUUUAUUUAAUCUUUAAAAACUUUAAAAAAUAAUAAAAUUUUUAAUAAGAAUUUAUGAGAUUAAAUAAGUACUUAUGACAACUAAAUAAGAUAUACUAAACAAAUACUAAUUCUAUUAUGCUUCAUAAAGAAAGUAAAUAAGAUAUAAAAAAUAAUUGAAAGUGAAAACUAGUGUUGGUGAUGUAACACGAGAUAGUGGCACUUAAAUGCUAAGGGCUAUGUAAAAUGCCAACCAACUAACAAAUAGUGGCUGUGCUUUAUUUAAUUAUCUUGUUUAUUUUAUUUUAAUUUUUAUUUGUCAGAUGCUGGGAAUCGAAUCAGGCCCAUUUGAGUUGGAAUUUGGGCCCCAAGUGCGAAUUUUUGGGUCACUUAUCGGGCUUUUAUGUAAGCACAGAGUAAAAAUUCUUUACUAAAAGCACCUCCUAUGUGCUCUAGUUGCACCCAGUUCUGUUACAAACGUGCCAAGGGUGUAAUAAGAACAAUCGGGGAUGUAUUUUUUUUCACUUUUUCUUCCAAUAUCUCUCAUUUUAAAUUCCAUUUAAUUUGGGCUUUUGAAGCCCAAGUAUGAGCGAAAAGCCCAAACUUGUUCACUGGCCUAAAUAGUCCACUGGUUUUAUCUAUUAUCCCAUAUUUUAAUUAAAAUUGUCCCUUAUUUUUAGUGCAAAUAGAAAAAUGCCACUUGUUUUCAAAGAGAAAAAGAAAAAAAUGGCUUUUUUUUUUUAAUUACUACAAAGUUACAAUUAAAAAUCUAUCGAAAUUUUCUUUUUUUUAUGGCACAAGCAUACUCAAAUUUCUAUUAUCAUAUUAAAAAAUAUACAACGAUUAUCUGAUUUCAUGUUGUCAAAUGCUCAAAAAACUUGUUGACUCAUGUCAUUAUUUAUGACAUUCAACUAGAAUAAAAAUAGACAAAGAAAGAGGCUCGAAUUAUUAUUGUUAUUAUUAUUAUUUUCCAUGAAUCAUUUAGGGAUGACAAUUUUUUUCGAUGGGAUGAGAUCCUGCGGGAUCCCAUCUCAUUUGAGACAGAAUUGAAACAUAUUUUUGUCUUAUAAAAAAAUUUAAGGAUAGGAGUGAGACAUUUUUUUAUCCUAAUUACAUAUACGGAACGGAAGUGAGAUUGAUAAAUUAUGUUCCAUCCCAUUUCAUUACCGAUUAAGAAUGAAAAUUUUACCAAUUGGGAUGAGAUCUCAUAGGAUCUCAUCUAUUUUAGGACGAAAUUAAGACAUAUUUUUAUCCUAAAAAAAUAUAAAAAUAAAAUUAAAAUAUUUUUUCAUUUCAUUUGUAUAUACGAGACAAAACUAAAAUUGAUAAAUCUCAUACCAUCUCAUCCUAUUGCCAACCCUAGAAUCAUUGAAGUGGGAGGAAAAAAAAAAAGAAAAGAAAACAACGAAGCAAUUCGGAAUGACGUGUUAACUAACAACAGCUCAUUAAAUGGCCUUUUUGUAGUUUUUUGACGCGCACAUGACCAACACUGGCCUGCCAAUUUCACUUUCCUAUUUCACCCGUAAAAAAAUUGGUAAUUUGUUUUUGUUUAUUAGAUUUUAAAAUUUAUCAAAAAUUUAUUUAAACCUGAUUUUUUCAUUUAAAUCAUAUGGAAUGUGUACCAAAUUUGACUAUUGGAUUAAAUUUAACCACUAAAAUUUGGAAAAAAAAAUAAAACCCAAAUGCUCUCGAAGAGAAUUCUACCUCACAUAAAUUUUUUUUUCUCAUUUGAUAUAAUCAACAAAAAUUGAAAAAAUAAUAUAAAAAAACACUAGUACAAGACUACAAGCAGCGGAUAAAGAAUGACUUAUAUAUUUAUAUAAAAAUAAAAAAGAAGAAAUUACUUAAAUAUUUUUUAAUAAAUAAAAAAAGGUCAAUAACGUAAUUUGACAUAGCCGGCUGGUAAAGUGGACCAGGGGGACAAGGCUGGAGCCAAUUGUCAUAUCCGGACUCCAAAUUCUAAUCAAAUCACAUUUAACGUCGACCAGAUUCGCUCGCCAAAGUGUGUGUGUGUGUGUUUAUAUAUAAUAUAUCUAUAUAUAUAUAUAUAUAUUUAUAAGAGCUAAGACCUAAAACACAUACUGAGCAAUGCAAGAUCAUUUUCGCCGGUUUUUGAGAUCGAACAACGCGGUUGAGCUGUAAAGUGUAGGGGAACAGAAAGCAAAAGGGAGGAAAUUAGGGUUCUUGGGCUUGUGGGUAUUUUGAAAAAGGCAAAGAAAUGAGAGAAAUUAUAAGUAUACACAUUGGGCAAGCUGGGAUUCAAGUGGGGAAUUCAUGCUGGGAGCUUUAUUGCCUAGAACAUGGCAUUCAUCCUGAUGGCAUGAUGCCCAGGUAUAUUUUGUACAUGCCCUUCUUGAUUUUUUGUGUUUACUGUUAAAUGUGCUUGUUCCGAUCAGAGCAUUUGUGGCUCAAUUUUGAGUUUUGACCGUUUUCAGUCUGGAUGAUUGUUAGUGUUGAUUUUGAUUAUACCCUUUUGAUUAUGUGUUAUGAGCAUGUAAAGAUCAAAACUUGUUGCAAUGUGAUGGUGAAAUCAUGUGUUUUCUUUAUUGUAAAAUGGCUAAGUUUUUUGGUCUGGAUGAACGUUGAAGUUGAAUUUGACUAUAACCUCUUGGUUUUUGUAUGUAAUUUUUGUUAAUGGGCAUGUAAAGAUCUAAACUUUGUGGCUGGAUUUGUUGGGAUGUGAUGGUGAAAUUCUGGGCUUCCUUGGUGGGGUUUAUUGUAACUGUAGUGUAGAGUUGAGCUUUGAGUUUGGAUGUGUAUUAAAAUUUGUCUUGAUUCGGCCCUUUUGAGUGUUAACAAAAGAAAGAGCUUUUGUCCCUUUCUUCAUCAGCUUCAACCUCUGGACGUGUAAAGAUCUAAACUUUGUGGAUUUACUGCAAUUCAUGUUAAAAAUGGACAUGUAAAGAUCAAAACUUUGUGGGUUUAUUGCAAUUAUUGUUAAAAAUGGACGUGUAAAGAUCAAGACUUUGUGGGUUUACUGCAUUUUUUGUUAAAAAUAGACAUUUAAAGAUAAAAACUUUGUGAGUUUAAUGCAUUUAUUGUUAAAAAUGUUCGUGUUUUGAGUCUCUUUGAGUGCUAAAAAUGAUUUUGACCUAUGAUGUGUGUGUAUUUUUGUGAAUGAACAUAUAAAGAUCAAGAAUUUGUGGCUGAAUUUGUUGGGAUGUGAUGGUGAAAUCAUUGAUUUUCUUGGUGGGUUUACUGUAAAAAGUUGAAAUCUGGAUGAGUGUUGUAGUUAAUCUUGAUUAUAUUAAGCUGAAUUUGUAGGGAUGUGAAGAUGGGAUUACGUUUUAGGGUGGGUUUAUUGCAUUUGAUGUAUUGUGUUUGUUCUGUGAGUUGGGAUGGGAGUAUCAGUUGAGUAUUUGCUUUAUUCGAUGUAAAUGUUGUUUAAUAGGCUUUUAAAGACCAAAACUUUUUCAUGGACUUAUUGCAUUGUGAAACAUGUUAAGUAUUUCCUUUAUAUGUGUUUAUUAAAUGAGAUUGGAUGGGCAUAAAGUUGAUGUUUCUUUUUUCAAUUUACAGUGCAACAAACCUUUGUAGAGCGAUUAAUCGGAAGGACACAAAAUUUAAUUUUGUAAUUUAAUGAUCUAUGUAUUAAUAAAAAUAAAAAUAAUAUUUAUGCACAAUACUGUCUAAGUAUCUGUGAUGUUUUUUGGUGUAAUGAAAAAAUUAGAGCUAUUUAAGGUGAUAAAGCUGCAGUAUAUCAAUAUAGCAGUUAAGAAAUAGGUUCUCAAUCUCUCUUUUUACAUUGUAUGACUUUUUUUCUGUUCAAUAAAAUAAUUUCUUUGUUUUCUUCUUCGUUGAAUGUUUGUGCAUUGUGGUUUUAUUAUGGUUACACAGUUUUAGUUGAAAACAAUGAUGACCUUUGAAAAUUUUGGUGUGCGUGCAGUGACAAUACAAUAGGUGUAGCCCAUGAUGCCUUCAAUACAUUCUUCAGUGAAACCAGUGCUGGCAGGCAUGUGCCCAGAGCUGUGUUUGUUGAUCUUGAACCAACUGUCAUUGAUGAAGUUAGAACGGGUAGCUACCGCCAGCUUUUCCACCCAGAGCAGCUUAUCUCUGGCAAGGAAGAUGCUGCUAACAAUUUUGCAAGAGGGCAUUAUACUGGUAAUUACUGUUGUUUGUCAUUUGCAUGAAUGACAUUUGCAUUGGAUAGUUUGGUGGUUUUGAUUGAUUGUUGCUUUGUUGUGCAGUUGGGAAGGAAAUUGUGGAUCUUUGCCUUGAUCGUGUUCGAAAGUUAUCUGAUAACUGCACUGGGUUGCAAGGGUUUUUGGUGUUCAAUGCAGUUGGUGGUGGUACUGGUUCCGGUCUGGGGUCGUUGUUACUGGAACGCCUAUCUGUAGAUUAUGGAAAGAAGUCAAAGCUUGGCUUCACUAUCUACCCUUCUCCUCAGGUACCUAUACCAGUUGUUGACUUCAAGCCAUGAUGAUGUACUCCGAUUUCUUUCCAUUCAUCAUUUGUUAUUUGCAUUUGGUGACAUGGAUGAAGAAAUUAUAAGCUGUGUGCUUGUCUGGACUUUGGACCAUUUUAAUAAGUAUGGCAUCAAAAAUUAGGAUCCAUAGCUUUUAUCAGUCUAUUUUUCUAGGAAUCGUCACUCUCUUGCUAUUUAUUAUACAUGCAUAUGUACAGAUAUGUUAUAACUUAAUUGAUUUGUACCAUAUUAUAUUUCAGGUAUCAACAGCAGUUGUGGAGCCUUAUAACAGUGUUCUGUCUACUCAUUCCCUUCUUGAACACACAGAUGUUGCUGUGCUAUUGGACAAUGAAGCUAUUUAUGACAUCUGCAGGAGAUCCCUAGAUAUUGAGAGGCCAACUUACACUAAUUUGAAUCGAUUGAUAUCUCAAAUCAUAUCAUCUUUGACAACUUCAUUGAGGUUUGAUGGAGCUAUUAAUGUUGAUAUUACAGAGUUCCAGACCAACCUUGUACCGUAUCCUCGUAUCCAUUUCAUGCUUUCAUCAUAUGCUCCUGUCAUCUCUGCUGAAAAAGCAUACCAUGAACAGCUUUCAGUUCCAGAGAUCACAAAUGCAGUCUUUGAGCCCUCAAGCAUGAUGGCCAAAUGUGACCCCAGGCACGGGAAGUACAUGGCUUGCUGCUUGAUGUACCGAGGAGAUGUUGUCCCCAAGGAUGUUAAUGCCGCUGUUGCCACUAUCAAAACUAAGAGGACCGUGCAAUUUGUUGACUGGUAAGGAAACUUACAGAAUUUCUUGCUAUAAACUGAGUAAUUUUGAAUAGAUGGAUUAACUCUUCCUUUAUAAUUCAACUUCCAAUAAUGGUAUCCAUGGUUCUUUAUGAAAUUGCUUUUAUUGAAAGCAAACCAUCUUUGGACAACAUUUAUAGAAAUUGGUUUGGUAAAGGCCAGAUGAUUCUGUAAGUGGAUCUUGUUGUCCGCGUUAUGUGCAUGUGAAUUAAGAUUCACAAUCACCUAUUUAUUGAAGAACAAUGCGUAUGGAUGACUACAUUGAUUUUCCAACUUAAUUUCAAAUUAGUUGACAAGGUUUAUGACUUUUUCGAUAAUUUCUUGUCGUGUAGACUGGGUAACAAGAGAGCAUAGAUUGUUAGUUCUUGUAUAUAUAACCUCUGAUUGAAAGCAAUCCAUCUUGGACAACAUUUUUAGAAAUUGGUUUGGUAAAGGCCGGAUGAUUCUGUAAGUGCAUCUUGCUAUCCACGUUAUGUGCAUAUGAAUUAAAAUUCACAAUCACCUAUUUAUCGAAGAACAAUGCGUAUGGAUGACUACAUUGAUUUUCCAACUUAAUUUCAAAUAAGUUGACAAGGUUUAUUUCUUUUUUGAUAAUUUCUUGUGUAAAUUGGGUAACAAGAGAGUAUUCUUGUAUGUAUAACCUCUUAUUGAGGUUGCCAAAGCAACCUCAAGAAUUUAUAUUACUUGUUUGAUGUGCAACAUUAUAACUACUCUUAACAUUUGUCUAUUUGGAAUUACAGGUGCCCAACUGGCUUCAAAUGUGGUAUUAACUAUCAGCCUCCAACUGUCGUACCUGGAGGUGACCUGGCCAAGGUUCAGCGAGCUGUUUGCAUGAUCAGCAACAACACAGCAGUGGCUGAAGUGUUCUCUCGCAUUGAUCACAAAUUCGAUCUCAUGUAUGCCAAGAGGGCAUUCGUCCACUGGUACGUUGGUGAAGGCAUGGAGGAAGGUGAAUUCUCAGAAGCACGUGAAGAUCUGGCUGCUCUUGAGAAAGAUUAUGAGGAAGUUGGUGCAGAAGGAGUUGAUGAUGAGGAUGAUGGUGAAGAAUAUUGAUGUACUGCUUCUGCUGUAAACUAUGAAGAUGAGAAAUAUGUACAUUUUGCAAGGGCAUUUAUGUGGAAAUUUGUUCAGAAAUGUGAGGGUCUGUACUCAAUGCUUAGUCCCUUGCUUUUUUAUUGCUUUGUUUCUUUCGUGUAGACUAUUUCCUUUUGCUGUUGAACUCUCAAAAUUGUGCCAAUAUUGUGAUUCGUGGUGCUUUUAAUGGUAUCAGUGAAGUGAUAUUUUAGAAUUAUAAGUUGCAUAUUGUUUCUAACAGAAAUGUUGCAUAUCUCUGUCAAUGAUAUUUCAAUAUUUUGACUAUUGUUAAUUGCAUACCCUCAAGUCCUUGCCAUUCUUCUUAUAGUGAAGAGUUAAGAUAUGGCUGCUAUUUGUGAUUGCUGGAUGCAUGGAUUUUUUACUAUUCCUAUCAAUUAUUUUGCGUUAUAUAUGCAAAAAUGUACCAACCUGGUGUGGUUUGUUUCUGAAAGAUUAUUGUAUAAUCAAGCUGCUCUAGAACAUUCUGCUUCAUUUCAGGAUCUUUGCUCUGUACUUCUGUGUUGAAAUUUUGGUGGUUUGGAAAUGGUGUGCAUUGAAGAAACCAUUUCGUUUUGUUUUUGUCCUCUGCAAUAUGAGGUCACUCUAUGGGUGCUGGAAACGAAAAAUAACCUUUUCUUUUCUUUUUUGAAUGGAUGAAAUUGAACUUUUGAUCUACAGAAAAAUGCGGAAUCAAGAGAAGCAGCUUCAUUAAUACUGUUUUCGUCUAGUACCACAAGCGCAUGCAGUUGUCCAUGCAAUCAUAAUGUUGUAGCAGCAGCCAGCGGUGCAUGUUUGCGUUGCCUGUGCUCUUUAAAAUCCUGAAUGAUUUACAUGAAGCUUGAAGAGUACAGCCAGUGACAAGCACUUAAUUUCCUUUUUAUUCAUAAUCCCAUGCCUGUUUGCCUGCAACUAGAAGCUUUCUGUUUCAUCGAGGUUUUUCACAAUCUGCCAAUCCAUCAAUUAAGUUUAGGCUUGAUUGUUUGAUACAGCUAAUUUUCUUGAGUAAAACCAUGUCCAUAAGCUCAACAAGAAGUGUUCAUAUGCUCAAUUUAAGAGGGGAAUUAUUUGGCGGAAUAGACAACAAAUGUCUUUCACAGUUUUAAUGUGCAACGGGUGAAGCAUAAAAAGAACUAUCAUUUCUACAUAAUUCUCAUAACUGGAUAUCUUAAGCUGCCACAAAGUUUAGGAGAGUCGACGAUGGGAUUGUAUUAUUUCUGAGGGAACAUCUCCGCACCAGAUUCCAAUUCUAAGCAAACCGAACUGGUUUCAAAACUAAUCAACUACUUGUCCUAGAAACAAUUGACAAUAAACUGUAGAUCACUGCAACGUGUUAGUAUCAUGUGUUUUUAUACUUCGAUGAUUCAAGCCUCUUCAUUACUUCACUAGCCACAGAUACAUUCUCAAGAAAUUCAUUCAAAACAUAAAUGAAUAUAUGUUUCUUUCUGCAUUCUAUGCAUUCAAAAUUCAUAACAUUGAGAAAACAAGAGAGAGCUUUGAGACAUAGUGGGCAGAUCCCAGAGAGCGUGGCUGGGAUCAAAUGCAUUUUCCAGGUGCUGAUUCAAUCCAUUCAUAGUAUACAGUGAUGCCGAAAUCUGUCUCUCUACCUUCAUAUGUUCGAAUUCUGAAAGCUCGAUGUCAAACUGUUCAGGGAAAAAAGCAGCAACAGCAUGUUUAUUGGGCAACUGAAUCCCCUCUUGAGCCAGUGGAAGCGGAUCUAACCCAGCCGGGAAUGGCCAUGAAUGAUAAAACUGAGUACUGCUGCUGGCUUCAAAAUCCCCAAUGCAGCUGCUCAAGUCUGGCCUAUAUGCAUCAUCAAAGAUACGGCCAUCUUGUUUCAUGCCCUGAUAUAUAAAACUAUCAUAGCUGUUGUUGGAUAGAAAGCUAUCAUUGCUACUAUUAGAACUACCAAUACUGCUAUUAUUGUCACAAACUAUAGUACUUGGUUUUAUGGGGGCUGUUGUGUUGCUGCCGGUGCUGGUUGUGGUUGAUGGGGAGCUUUGUUUUAAGCUCCUUUUGUGAUUAAGCAGGUUCCUGAUCUUCAAAGAGAUAUGGGAAUUGGUAAACACAGGAGUGGCAAAGUUGGUUCGAGUAUUUGAUCCUCGGAGAAGGCAAGCAGCUUCAUCAUAAGCACGAGCGGCUUCUUCAGCUGUCUCAAAGGUGCCAAGCCACAUUCUUAUCUUCUUUGUUGUGUCUUUAAUCUCUGCUACCCAUUUGCCUGAAGGCCGUUGUCUCACGCCAACAAAUUUGCUUUUGUUGCCAGGGUUUGUGCUGCUUUUGGCCUUGAUUUUGGCUGAUGAAACACCCUUUGGCCGCUGCCUUUGAACUUGUUGUCCCAUUGAAAAUAUGAAAGAGAAGCUAUGAAUCAAUGGUGAGUUAAAAAAGUGCUUCUUAUAUAGGAGAUGACAUUAUGGUCCAGAAGUUAUUAUUGGUAGUGGGUUGCUCGUCUUUUAUUCUUGUCAGCAUGUCUAUUAGUUUUGUUCGUUUUGAAGGGCGACUGAUCUUCCAACGUUAAGGCUAAGGGUGCGUUUGGGACCAUUUCUAAGACAACCAAAAGCACUUCCAAUUACUAAAAAACAGUUAUGUGCUUAUAUUAUAGAACUUUUUUUUUAAUUAUUAUUAUUAUAAUGAUAAAAAUAAAAAAAACGUUUCCAAACAAUGCUUAAAACUUUACUUGAUGAUAUCUCCAAGGGUCAUGAUUUGUGAUAUGCUAGCCAUUUGCUAUAUUUCGAAAGCAAGAGUCAACUCUCUGAGUUGUAAAUAUCAAAGUGAUUUUUCUAAUGGAACCUGCGUUGCUGUCCUCUUCUUCUUCACUCUUAGUUGGUCAAUGAUUAAACAUAAGCAAAAUUCGUGAGAUGCAUAAAGUCAUGACACUUGGAGAUUUUAAGCCUAAUGUUGAUGUAACCAAAUUAUAUAUAAAUAAAUAAAAGAAGGGAGAAAGCAAAUGGGGAAUCUCAUAAGGCAUGCUGCAUUUGGUGGAAUGGAAUCUCUUUUCAAAACUACACGACAAAUUCGAACUUUUUGGAUGAAUUGAAAGCACUUUCUCCUGAUGGUCUUAUCUGUAAUCCAAAUGAAUUAACAUUUUGGAUGCUUCUCUAAAAGCAUUCGUUCCCCUUUAAAAAAACAUCAACAAACAUAGGUGAUUCUCAAAUGCAGAACAUAUAUGCAGCCUGAUUGAUGCUCAUGGGAAGUACCUCGACAACAGCCAUUUGUUUUUUUAAGAAAGAAAAAAACCUUUUAAAGUAACAUACGUGCGUGCACAAUGGUGCAAGAUAAUAUUUUGAUUAAUGUGAAGAAAUAAAAAAAAGUGUUGCAAAUUCUUCUUGAAUGUUAUAUAGAGGAACUAUCUACUGCUAAGCAAAUUUAUUCAUAAGAUGAAUGGUUUGAGUCUCUUUAUAGUUGUGACUGAAAACUCCAAGAAAAUAAACCAUGUACUAAAGACAUAACAUUAAAUUAUAUAUAAAUUUUUUUUUUUUUUUUUGGGGGGAGGGGGGGAAUGCAAUUAUCAUGUCCAUAUUUGGAAACACACUUGAUCAUUAUUUAUAAUUAGGGGUACAUCAAUAGAAAAAACACAUAAUCUAGUUGACAUUUGAGAUCAAAGCCGUUUAAAGAAAUAAAAAUCCUUAAUAAUUGUUAGAAAUAUUUUGAAGGUUGAACUUGACAUGCCAAUAACAUAAUCUAAUUGACAUAAGAUAUUAUUAAAGAUGCUUUUAAAGUAAUUGGACGCACUUACAAUGAAGAUUCUUUUCAGUACAUGACAACUUAUAACUUUUUAAGGCAGGUGAGGGUAGGUUUUUUCAAACCAUUCAAAAUAAAAAUGUGUCCAUCACAUCAUACAAGGAAUCAAGCUUACGCUGCCAGCCCCGGUAAAAUUGAAACAAGCACCUCGAAAUCUAAAAACUGAGGGGCAUGCUGCAUCGAAGAUCAGGUCUUAACCAUGUCCUAAACCAUUUCAACUGUUAUCUACACUUCUGUACCGUAUUUUAACUGUCAUAACAAAUCGGUCAGUUGAUUGAACUUAAACCAAAGCUCCAUGUAUCAAUCAAACAUGGUGGGAAGAAACUGAUUUUUACAGUAAAAGAGAACCAAAAAAGGAACUCUAUCUAUUGCAUCGAGUCAUUCUUGGCAAAAAUGCCGCGUCCACUUAAGUGUUCUUCUACCAAAGAAACAAAGAUAACCACUGAAUCACCUGGAGAUCAGGUCAGGUGCAUGCCAAUGAAACAUUAACAUCUUCAAUACCUGGAGCCAAUUAAUGCCAAUUCAUCAUUCAGGUGGCUUGAACUACAAUAAAAUCUGCUAGGUUAUAACUAAGAUGGGGAAAUAAGCAGAAAGAAUGUAUUCUCAAAAAGGAAAAAAAAAAAAAAUUGAAUCUGCUGCCUCCAACUUGCAAACAAAUCAGUGCUGCAAAGAAAAACAAAAAUGGAAGGUUCAAAGAAGAGCAGUAAUGUUUAAAUCAAACAAGAAAGGUAAACACUUUACUUCUAGUGACCAGGAGGAUCUAGACCACCAAACCUGCCUUGGUUUGAUCCAAAAAAUAAACCUGAUAAAUUCCACAGAAACCGCUAUGUUUCCAUAAAAAGUUGCUUUUUCUGAUGCAUGGAAGCAAAAGCAUGAGUACAUCCCAAGAAGCACUUGCUAUAAACUAGUCAAGGUGAAAAAAAGGAAGCGAUAUGCUACAAAUUGGGCAAUAAGCCCAUACCGACCAGUCACACCAUAUGAAGUUUCAGGAUGCUACAAACAAACUAGAGAAGCCUUCUACUCAUCAUCCAUACAUCCAGGUGCAUGAACAUGCUCCCUAUGAGGUGACAACCUGAAUCCUAGCAAACAAUAAAAGACCUUUGAAUCACUACGUUUACCAGGACAGAAAAUAACAAUGACAUAACUCAAAAUGCACAGAAAUACUAUAAUUGCAUAUAUUCAAAACCAAGACACUCCUACACAUGGACAAUGCAAACCACAAUAUGUAGUAGUAUCAUAAGUGGAUUACUUGUCUCUGCCUGAGCAAAAGGAACUCCUCCGACUCCCAUUGCUCUUAUAGAGUUGCCAAGAAGCUGGUUCUGAAGCAGACAUUAAUUUACCAUCAGUUCCACGACAACAACAAUAGGGUCUCAAAUAGUUAUCCCAAAGAAAAAUAAGCAAUACAACAUCCCACAUAUAGCAUCAAUGCAGGUUGAGUUAUAAAACUGUCGUUAUACAUGGAAAAAUGGAAAAGUCUUAGGGUAAGAAGGCAGUUCCAACAAAAACCUCAAGUAUAGCCCCAUUAAGAAGCCCAUUAUCUCUUUCUACCACCCCGCUCUCUCAAAGAAAGAGUUAGUGUUUCCCCUGUUGUGACGUUAUAAUAUGCAAGUGACAUAUUAUCCUUUAGAAAACCAGCUUUUCCACUCAAUUUCUGUUUGUUUGCAGGAAGCUGAAUCUCCCCAGAAAUUUUCUCUUUCAAACUGCCAACAGUUUCAGAUAAGGACUGCAUUGUAAUCUCCAGAAGUUGCCCUUUCAGAUUUCCUUCAUCAACAUUGGGAACAGCCACGGUGAUGCGAACAGGUCCCUACGAAAAAGCACCAUGUAAAUCAGCUAAAAUGCAAUAUAAAGACAAACUUAACGGCAUUAUAUGAAAGAAGCAGUUUCAAGAGUAACCAUACCGGAUGCUGUGCCAGAAAUUGAUCUUCAGGAAUAAGCAUAGAAUCAUCGAGCUUCUGCCUCUUUGGCUCUGGCUCUUCUGGAAGUGGCGGCGGAGCUUCAGUUGGAGGUGGAGGAGGCAUCCCAUGAGGCAAAGGUGGUGGCUGCAUCAUAGUCACAGGAGGUGGUGCAGGGCCCGGGAGAUGGGCAAAAUGAUGCGGAACUUGCAUAUGAGUAAACUGAGAUCCAGGAGGCGGUGGGACAUGCACACCAGAUGGAUUCAUGGAAAUUGAUGGUGGCAUCGGGGGUGGUCGACUCAUCAUAACAGGUGGCUGUCCACCUGUAGGCAUUGAAGGAGGGUUUGGGGGCAUUGAUGGAAUCCCUUGCAUAGUGAACUGCCUCUGUUGAGGAACUGGGAUCCCACCACUAGUGGGUGUUGAAUACUGGACUGUGUUUGGAGGCACACGAGGAAGAUUCAAGGCUAGUCCCGGUGGUGGGGGAAGAGGACGCAAAGAAGGCACACCAGGUCGAGGAGGAGGAGCUGCUGGACCGGGUAGAUUCGAGGAAUCACUGUUAGCUGCACUGUUUUGAUCAUCUCCAUUAAUAUUUUGAGACAUGGCUUGGUUUGCUGUACGCCCAAUGCUACUAGUAUGACCAUCCCAUAUGACUUGCUUUGGUUGCUCAUCUUUCUUCUUCUCAAUCUCUGCUUUGACUGCAUUAGAAACUUCUUCCUCUGUGGUACCAAAGAUAUCAGGCCGUAAACGUGCAAGCCCAACAAUAUUUCUGGAAAUCUCAUCAUCCUGAGCAAGAGUCGUCUCCCGAAUCUUUGCGAACAUCCUUUCUUUUUGCUCCUUGUACUUGGGAUCAAUGAGGGAAAUUCUCAUGUGCUCAGACAUUUCACUAAUGGGAAUUAGCUCACCAGUAAUGGGGGAAAUAACAAACUUUGUGGGGUCUCUUUCAGCAGGGAUCCUCUCCUCAGGUCUCUUCCAGUUCUUUACAAUUCUCAUUGGUGGUUCUGGAUCCUCAUUAGCCUGCAUCUCCUUUCUUUCGACAUCAUUUUCUUCAAGACUAGCUGCCCUCAUGCCCUCUUCAACAAGCUGCACCUCUUCUUCAUCCAUCUCCAUUUCUACCUCCUUUCCGGGUUCAACAAUUUCAUCUUCUUCUAUAGAAGACAUCUUGCUCUUCCUAAUAACCUCCUCAAGACUCAUUGGCACAGGUAGGUCCUCAUCCUCGUCAUCUGCAAAGUCUAUCGUCUCAACAACAACAAAAUCAUGCCAAUCAAUCAUAGCCAUCUGCAUCCUCUCCUGCUCAAUCUCGUCCUCAGCUUUUUGCCUCGCCUGCUCUUGUGAACGUUCCCAUUCCAGGCGAUGCAAGCACCGUUCAAGCACAGUUGUCAUGUCAAGAACGCUAUUCUUCAAUUUCUCAGUCAAUCCCUUUGGUGGCAUCAACACUUUAGAAUAUGCAUCUGCAAGUUGAGUGAAAAAAGUAAACAUACUAUGCGUUGGUUUCAGAAAGUGGAACUGAGGAUUGUUGAUCUCUCUACUAGUCAAUCCUGUCAAGAAUGAUUUUCCAUUUCUAGCUACAAACUGGGCAGUCAGCUUAAUAAUGUCAAGUUCUUCGCCAGUAAUCCCUUCGGGAAGCCGCACGGUAUACUGCUCGGCUUCAGGGGGCUCAAGGACCUUCUGUACAGGUAGUUUAAAUGGAAGAGCCGGCUCAGUCUUUGCAGCUGCAUCACUACCAUCAGCAGCCACAGCAGAUGGCUCUGACUCAGGUGCAGCAGAAUCCAUGGGCUCUGAAGAAGGUUUCUGGGCAGAAGAUUGAUUCUGCGCACGAAAUUCAGACAGCCGAUGCUGGUAAUAUGCAUGAUAAGGAUCUGAACUAGUCAAAAAAUUGAACUUGGCAUUAUUAGCAUUGUUCGCAAUGAUCCUCUUCUCAAAUUCUGGUCCAUUCUUAGCAACGAACUGAGAAGUUUUGUCAACAAUAUUUCUGAUAUCUGGAGGAGGAUGAAUAAUUCCAAUUGUUCUCGUGUGGGUUGCAACCGAUGCAGGAGCAGCGUUAGCAUUGGUCUGCUCCUCGUUUGAUGGUUUCUCCUGUGUAUGCUUUUCUGACACCUGAGAUAGAGGAAGAGGACCAAGAUCUCCAUCGGAAGGAGGUGCUGGAAGAGUCAAGAUUGGCGACACUCCUGGCAUUGUUUUUGCAAGAAGCAGUAACUUAUUUCAGAAUUUAUAAACCGUCUCGUAUCAACACAAUUUCAAGCUAAGUUUGUUAUCUGUAAUAUCUAUCAAUUUUUUUUUUUAACACUUCAGUCAAGGAAAAAAUCUAACCUGCAAAAACCACACAAAAAUCCGAGCAAUAGUUAGGGAGGGAAUAAUAAAGUCUAAUAUAAUAAUAAAAAAACUUGAAACUUUAGUUUUAUCCAGCAUUCCAAUAGAUUACAAAGUGAAGUUAAUUAAACCCACAAGUUUGCAUUAAAUAUUACCAGCUCAGUAAGUCCCUGCAUCGUUAAAUCAAUAAUUUGAAAACUCAAUCGUGAAACAAUCACGCGAUCAAAAGAUUCAGCAACUAAAAAAAAACAAAAAAAAAAAAAAACUAAACUAUUUGCAAAUAAUUCGUGGCCACACACACGCACAUCAUUGGAUGACAACCAAAUUCUUAGCAAACCCACGUGCCAUAAUGCAACCCCAAACUUGAUUCACUUAAAAAAGAAUGAAAGUUUAAUAAAACCAGAGUUAGGGUUGAAAAUUUAACCUUAUGAGGCUGAUAUGAGAGUAAAAUUUGGCGGGAAAACGACGAAUGGCCGGAACGGUGCCGUUGUCGAUGGUUUGCCGCCGACGCCGCCCUCGUGGGAGGUGCAAAUCGGGCUAUCACUGAAAAGAUUGUGAAUUAGGAAGGUUUUUAUUUUUCUGUGGUACAAAAUUAUUAUUAGGGUAGAUGAACGGAGUCGGUUAGGACUUGGGAGGAAAACGAAAAGUGGAAAAGGGUACUGGAAGUCUAGAAGUGGCUUAUUUUGGUUGGGCCCAAUUUGAAGCAAUGGGCCGACCAGGCAAACGUAUAAUGGUUGUAUGGUGGGUCUAAUCAACUUGACCCGUUUGGGUCUAAUUUCUAAGACCACUAAUUACGGAGAGUAGAAAUCCCUGGUACAGAGUUUAAGGGAAUUUUUUUCUCAUUUGGAAUGGGUACGUGGACCGAAAAUGAGAUAGAAUCCUCAUCCCCAUUUUUUUAUUUUAAUUUUUAAUUUUACUUUUAUUUUUUUAGAAUUAUUAGUGAUAAGUGCAUAUUUUUCAUUUAUUUUGCUAUUAAUUUCUCCAUCUUUUUCUUGUUUUGGUCUUAAAUAUUCUAGUUAUUUUAGUUCAUUUUUA
Molecule: long non-coding RNA, 63543 nt
Filed under: Citrus maxima (pomelo)
Lineage: Eukaryota; Viridiplantae; Streptophyta; Magnoliopsida; Sapindales; Rutaceae
Description: long non-coding RNA (CMAX_LNC000452)
Source: RNAcentral